RNAcentral lists this long non-coding RNA (54812 nucleotides) under Gossypium barbadense (sea-island cotton). RNAcentral describes it as "long non-coding RNA (GBAR_LNC010422)". The record is from RNAcentral. Lineage: Eukaryota; Viridiplantae; Streptophyta; Magnoliopsida; Malvales; Malvaceae.
AAUUUUUACUAAAAUGAAAUAAUUUAUUCAAUUUAUAUACAUAUAUAAGAUAAAUUUUAGAUAUGAUAUAUGUGAUAGCCAAUUUUGGCCCGGUCAAGUAAAAAAAUAAAGAAACCCAAAUAAAAGUCCAAUUUCUUUAGUCCAUUUACAAUAUGUGUGACCUAAAUUACUAAACUCAACAGGCCCAAACCAAAACUCUAUUAGCCUAUUACCAAAACUAACCCUAAUAGCCCACUAUCUUUAUUUUUUUUCAGCAGCCACCAACCCUUCCCCAAGAUGCAGCAGCUGCUCAGCCCCCAUGCGCGCCGCCUCGCCUUUUCACCAGCCAACCACCAGCCUUUCACUCCUCUGACACCUGCAAUCAAAUCCAACACAACAACAGAGAGCAUGCAGAAGAAAUAAAUAGCUAAAGAACAAAAAAACAUAGAACGAACAGUUUGUAAAUUGGCUUUUAAAAGCCAAAAUCUAUACUUGUAAUUUUUUUUUACGAACAUUGGAAAUCAAAAAACACAAAAGGUUGAUAUCUGAUUCUUCUCUCUUUGUUUUUUAUUUUAUUUCGUUUCCUUUUAUUUCUCUAAUAUUUCUUUUGAUUUUAAUACAAAUCUAUUAAAUCAAAGUAGAUAUAAAACAAAUAAUAAGGAAGGGAGAAGGCCUUACCGGAAUCGCUCGUCGUUUCAUCGCCGGAGGGUUCUCCUUCGUCGUCGGGAUCGGGCCGAAUAAGGAAGGGAAGACCUUUACUUUCGCAACUUUUGGGCUGAGAAGGCUCCGCCUUCGGGGACGCCUUGAAACGUGGCUUAAAGCCCGCCCUUGCGCGUCGUCGGCCGUCGUGUUCAGUGGCGGUGCGGCGGUGGGAUGGUGCCUCCCUUGGUCGGCCAAACAAAAGGCUACAAGGGAGGAGAGAAAAGCUGCUGUUUUUUUUUUCUUUUUCUUUUUUUUUAAACCUAGGGCUAAAAUGAAACAAGCACAAAAUUUAGCCUUUUAUCAAGCUACCAAACGACACCAUUUAGAAAGGGGAGGGGUCCGCAUGUCUCCUUUGAAUGGGAAAUUACCCGCUUUGGUCCCUCCCAUUUUUCCUGAUAUUUGAUUUAGUCCCGAUUUCCUUUUUUUUUCUUUUUAAAUCUAGCCCGAUCAUUUUAUUCCCUCUCUGAUUUGGUCCCUGAUCUGGACUAAUGAAACACAGCGUAUAGACUUGGGACAUUACUCAAAUUGGUCCUCGCAAGUCUCGGCGCGUUUCAAUUUAGUCCCUGGUGGCCCCUUUUUUAUUAUUUCAAAUUUAUACCCUGGAAUUUUGAUUUGUUUUCAUCUAUAUCCUAAAUUCAUUUAAUUUAUUCUCUUUACAUCUAUCUUAAUUUGUUUAAUAUACUGUUUGUUCAUAUCAUUAUUGUUUGUUGUAACUCACUUUAAUAUGUUGUUUAUUCUAAUUAUUACUUUAUCUCAACUUACUUUAUGUAUGUAUUAUUUAUUUUAUAAUCCUUACUUAUCAUAUUUGUAUAUAGAUAUAUAUGCCAUCUAUUUCAAGUUUCUGUAUGUGUGCUAUUAUUUCAAAACUGCUUCGCUAUAUACUUAUUUCAAAUUAUAUUACGUUGUUUAUUCUUUAGUUAUUAUGUAUUAUGUAUAUCUAAUAAUUCUUUAUAUAUUAUAUCUAAAUCGUUAUUAUAAAGUAUACUUAUAUUGUCUAUUUUUAAUUCUUUUACGUAUCAUAUAUUUUAAACUUCUUAUUAAUUACUUUUAAAUUAACUUAUAUAUUAUUUAUUUUAAAACUAUUCAUAUAUGUCAUUCUUUAAUUUGCUUUGUGUAUUAUAGAUUUUAAAAUGCUUUAUACAUUAUUUAUUUUAAACUUGUUUUAUGUAUUAUUCAUUUUAAAUUGUUUUAUUGUUUACUUUAAUUUCUUUUCCCUAUAUUAUCAAUUUCAAAUUUUUAUAUGUAUUAUCCAUUUUUAUAUAUACCCUUUUUAAAUGUUUUGUAUGUUACUCAUUUUAAAUUUCUAUCUACAUAAUAUUUAUUUUUGACUUAUUUUUAUUAUUCAUCAUAAACUAUCUUAUAUAUUAUCUAUUUUAUACUGUUUUGGUUUUACAUAUCAUUUUAAAUUAUUAUAUACAUGUUAAUCAUUUUACAUUGCUUUUCAUUUAUUUAUUUUAGACCUUUUUAUAUAUCAUUUUUGAAUUACUUAUUAUUUUAAAUUUAUAUAAUGUUUAUUCUUAAACUGUCUUUUUGUAUAGGGCAUUUAUUUUCAAAUUUUCAUAUGUUUUUAUCUUAAACUCCUUGAACAUUGUUUAUUUUUUUUUAUGCAUAUAUUUAUGAUAAGUUUUUAUGCUAUGUAUAUUAUUUAUUUUGAACUUCUUUUUAUGUAUUAUGAUUUUAAACUUUUCAUUAAUGAUUUUAGAUUUUUUUUAUUUUACUUUAAACUGCCUUUAUAGUAUUUAUUUUAAAAUCCUUAUGUAUAUAUUUUAUAUUUAAGAUUAUCUAUUUGUUUGAUUUAAAUCAUUUUAUAUUAUUAACUCAUUUCUAUGUUUAUUAAGCUUGUUAUUUAAUUGACAUAUGUUAUGUUAUUGCCAUUGUGCGUGUUAUAAUUCGUUUAUUCGUAUUUCCAUUAUUGUCAUUUGCUCGCGUAGUACUUUAUUCAUGUAUCAUCACUCUAUGUCGCAUCAUAUUUUUAUUUCUUAUUAUCGCCUUAUGAAUUAAAUUUCGCUACAUUUAUCUAAUAAAUCGCUUCGUUUUAACCUAAAUAAACAACACAUGUUGCUCGAAUAUUAUAUUCGUUACUAUUCAAAAACAAAAUUUUCCAAAUAAGGCAAUGUUAUGCAUUUUGAAAUAUCGAGGAAUUGUGCCCUAACUUACGGGGUUUCGAUUUUCUCGUUGUUUCUAAAUGGCUAAAUAUCCUUUUCAAGUUUUAAAACACGAAACUCUCAUUUAAAUUAAAAGACGACCUUGUGUUCGGGAAUUCAUGGUAUUGUGUCCUAACUUACGGGAUGUGAUACUCUGAUAUCUCGAGAUAAGGAAAUCUUUAAACAAAUUGUUUUUAGCUAAUUCAAAAAUUUUAAAAUCGAUAUUUAAAGAAAAGAUCGUAUUUUAAAUUCAUUCCCGAUUUUCGAUUUUCGACAUUAAGACACUAACUAAUCAAUUCGGUACCAAUUCUUGGGCGUGUCGAGGGUGCUAAUCCUUCCUCGCACGUAACCGAUCCCCGAACUUGUUCUCUUAAAAUUCGUAGACCGAAACACUGUUUUAGUAAACUAAAAUGUUUUAUUAAAACAAAGGUGAUUCGAUCACACGUAAUAAGGACCGGUGGCGAUUCCCGUUUUAAUUUUCGUUUUCAAAAUCAAGUCGAUUCCCGUUUUUUCAAAAAAAUAGUUUCGACAAUAUAAAUAUAAAUUAAAAAAUUCUAAAUACAAUAUACAAAGAAAAAUAACAUGAAUACAUAAAUUAUUGAGUGUCCUAAUCAAUAUAAAAAAAAUCAUUACGUAUAUAUAAAAUUCUAUAUAUUAAUUUAUAACACUUUAAGAACAAAAAUUAAUACCUAUUAUGAAGAAAUAAAAAAUUCUCUCAAGAUUGAAUCAUUAUUAAAAUUUAUGUAAAAAUAUGGACUGAAAUAAGAUAAGACACAAAUAUAUUGUUAACACACUAAUUUUUAUCUAAAUUAAAUACUUAAAAUAGGCAAUACAAGAAAAAAAAGAAGAAGAGAUGAAUUGAUAUACGGUAUAAACAUAAUAAGAAAAAUUAAUUAAAAUAAAAUACGAAAAAUAACAUGAGCAUGAUACAAAUUAGAGGUGUUCAUGGGCCAGGUUCAACUAAAAAAUUAUGUCCAUUUUUGGCUUGGGUUCAAAAAACGGGCCUAAAAUUUAACCCAAGCCCGACCCGGACAAAAAAAACUAAAACUCGAGCCCAUCCCGGCCCGCCCGUAUUAAUUUUUUUAUAUAUAUUAUAUUAUUUAUAUAUAUAUAGAUAUAUAGAUAUAUAUAUAUAAAAUACAUCAAAAAUACUAAAAACAUCAAAAUAAAUAUUUCCUAAUAAAUUGAAAAUAAAUUUUAAAAAAUAUAUAGACUUAAAUAACACUAAGAUAGAUACAACUUAACAAGAAAGUGCCUCUAAAAUAAUAAUAAAAAUUAACAAAUGCUUUAAAAUAAUAACAAAAUUAACAAUAAAAUAAGUUUUAUAUAAUAUCCAAACAAUAACAACAAAAUAGUAGCAACAUAAUAAUAAAAUGAUAGCAAAAUAGGGAGAAAACAACAAGAAAAUAACAUUAAAAAAUUUAAAAAAAUUACAGAACUUUUUGGCCUUUUUUAAACGGGCUUUAAUUUUUUGUCCAAACACAUAUUUUGAACCUAUGUUUUGCCCAAACCCUCCUACAUUUCGGGCGGGCCUUUGGGCCGGGCAUGAACACCUCUAAUACAAAUGUAAAAAAGCAUUCAAAAAUAUAUAAAAAUAAUUUAUUAAGAUGAAAACUUUGAACAAAAAUAAUAUCACGAAUAUGAACAUACAAAUAAUUCUUUAAAAUUAUGUAUAUCAAAUAUAAUAUGGAAAAAUAAUUAGCAUAAAAAAACUGAAUAGAAUGCAAGUACGAAAGCAUGUCAAAAUCUAUACGAGUAUAUAGUAUUUUGAAUGAAUAAAAAGUGAUAAAUAAAUAAAUAAAAACAUGUAUAUGAAUAUCUAUAAUAAAAGGAAGACUUAGGUCAUUCUUAGAUGACAACAAUCCAUAAUUUUUUUAUUAUAUACAUAUAAGAUAAUAAUUGGAUUUCAAUUUUGAUCUUUUAUUUGUUUUCGAAUUAUAUAAUAAUGAUUAAAUUUCAAUUUUAGUUUCUAUAAUAUAUUCAUAUUUAACAUAUUCAUAUUUGAGACUUAAUAUCUAUAUUUUAGUUUUUGACAUAACUUAAUACCUCAACUUUUAUAAGGUAAUGUCUUUUUUAUAUGACAUGCACCUAAAAUUUUUUUUACAUAAAUUUUAAUUCUGAUCCAUUUACUUCUUUUUCUUUUUUGAGAUUAUAUAACAAUUACCAAAUUUCUGUUUUGGUAUCUACAAUAUGUUCAAAUUUAAUAUUUAAUAUGUAUUCUACAUAAUUUGGUAACUCAACUUUUAUAACGACAUUAGUUUAACUACCUCAAUUUGUAUAACGACAUUAGUCCAAUUACUUUAUUAUAAUUAAAAUGUUAACAUGGAUUUUAAGAAUUGCUAACGUUGUUAAAAUUCUUUGUUAAAUUUAAGUCCAUUACAAAAUCUUUUUUUUUUUGUCAUAUGACUACCAAGUGAACAUUUAAAAAAAAAUUAAAUUGUUACACCAACAAAUUUAACUAAAAAUCUUAACGGUAUUAAUAGUGUUGUCCAUUUAUCAAACUCAUCAGUAUUUAUGGCUUAUGAAAACGAAACCUAAGCCAAAAUCUAAUUCUUACAAAUAAAUCACAUAAUCAUUAAGAAUAAACGACCUCUAUGAGUUAAUUUCUUCUAAGGAUGUUUCAUUAUUUAAAUGUUGUGCAACAUUAUUAGGACCUUCAUUUAUUAUCGGAAUAGCAUUUAUCAUAGAAGUUGAUAAAGGAACAUUUAUAAAUAUAGAAGAUUUUGCUCUAGUUUCUUGUAUACUUAACCACACUUAUUAACUUCAUCAUUUGCAAGGAAUCUAGCAUUACUAAUUUCUAUGGUUCUUAGACGAUGGUUUGAAAUGUGAAACAUAUAUCCUUUAUAUUUCUCUUGAUAAUUGAUAAUAUAUCCACUCAUUGUACGAUAUUAUGCAUCAUCGUUUUUGCUUGAUAACCUUAAAUAUGUAGGUGCCUCAAGUUGGGUUUCCUUCCACUCUACAACUCAAAAUGAGUUCUAUGUACUAUCUUACUAAGAACCUCAUUUAACAUGUAUGUAUGAGUUUUGAGCACAUGCAUUAUUAAGUUCAAGUAUGCAUUUCUAGAACACGAUUUUCUUAUGUGUGCUUAGCAUAGUAUAUUGUAUAGAUAUGUCACAACUUUUAAGGAAUUUUACAUAUGGAUUUGAACAUUCUCUUAAUUAAAUAUCUUUCUCAUAAUAUUCAUCACUUUUAUCUGAUCUUACUAUUUCUACAUUUCUAUCUAAGUGUCUUUCAACCUCAUUAAUGUAUAUUUCAAGAAUAUUUAUUGGUUAAUAUUAUUUAUUAAGUAAAUGAAUAUAAUAAUAUCAUGAAAAAUCAUCAAUAAAUGUGAAAAAUAUUUUCCAUUAAAAUAUGAAACAUCAAAACGUUUAUAUAUAUAUGUAUGUAUAUUAGUGUGUAUCAUUUCAAGAAUACUUUCUUAGUAUGCUUGGUUUACUUUUCUUUAAUACAAUUCAUACAAAUAGUAAGAUCGGUAAAAUUUAUAUUCGGUAAUAUCCAAUUAUUUACCAACCUUUCUAGUCUUAUCUGAAUGCAUGAUCAAUAUGUUUAUGUAACGAAGAAAAUUUUUCAUUUAGUAUACUACGUUUUAAUUCCAACAUUGCUCUGAUCAAUAAGUAAGGAAUCAAUUUUUUUUAAAAUUUCAAUUUAUAUAAACCAUACACACUUCAAUAAACUUUAUGUAUUAUUAAUAUUUUAAGGUUAAAUUUUAUUCUUAGUCUUUAUAUUUUACGAAAGUUUAGAUUUAGUUUAUGUACUUUAAUUUGGUCAUUUUUAGUCAUUUUAUUUUUCAAAUUUUAAAUUUUUAGUCCUCGCCAAACAACAAUUAGUAAAUCCAUUCAAAUAAGUUCUACUAUUUCCUAAAUUUGAUACGAGAAACAUAUAACAAUAUGUGUAAUGACAUGUUAGCUUGUUAUUUUCACAUAUUACUCACUAAAAAAUUUAGUUAAUGGAUUAAUGAUUGCGAUUUGUGUUAUGAUUGAAAUUUCAAAAUUCGCUAAGUAUAAGGACUUAAAAUAAUCCAAUUGAAGAAUAUGAACAAAAUCUACAAUUGUAUGCAUAAUACAUUGUAUAUGUAUUAAUUCGAUUAAUACAAAAUUUGAUUUACCCGUCUCUAUCACUGGAUUAAGGUUACAGGAUAUACAGUACAUAAAAAAAUAAAAUCAUGCUAUAUCAAUUCAAAUAUCUCUAAACGAUCAUGAAUCAUCAAACAUAUAGUCAAAAACAUGUUAUUCAUACAAUAUUGGGGUUAAAUCAAACUUAUGAAAGCUCUAAAAAUAAUUCAGAACAAAACAAGGACUAAUCAAAAAAGUGUGGUAAAAAUGCAAAAUAGGGGUUACAUGGUCAUGUGGCCAGGCUGUGUGACAGGUUGAGGCUGUAUGGGGUUGAAACACACAGUUCUAUAGCCAACCGUGUACAAGAGGUCAAGUCAUGUAAAGUAGAGUCACACGGCGCUGUGAGAGACUAUGGUCGUGUAACAAUUUCACCUACCAUUUCAUUAAGAGCACAUGACCAUGCCAGAUGCCCAUAUAAGGCACACGGCCGUGUGUUAGACCGUUUUCACCUAUGGGUACUCUAUAAUACAAGUUACAAACCACAAUCUCUUAUAUGCCAUAUGUGCACUUUAUACCAUUCCUUAAACAAAAUCAAAAUGCACCAAAACAUAUCAAAAAUAUAAUUUAAAAUAUCAUUCUUAUAUGCCUAACGAAUAUGUCAUUUUGGCACCAUCACAGCCAAAACAUUACCAUUACCAAAAUAUUUAACAAAUAUAAAACUAUCUCGAUUCAAUUAUAACUUUCAACCAAACAUAUAAGCAUGUGAUAUCAUUAUGCAUUUUAUCAUGAAUUAUUAAAAAAACCUUACCUUUUUAACAACCUAAGAUAUGCAUUAACACAUACCUAUUUUGACCAUAUAUGUCUCAAGCAAACUUUUAACUUUAUAACAUAUAAAACCCAUCCAAAACUUAACUUCAUUACACACUUACAUGAUUCAAAGUAUCUCACUUGUCUAAUAAACAACCAUCCAUCCAAACAUUACCAUUUCAUAAUUCCUCAUGCCUCAAAGAAAAUUGUAACACCCCUAACCCAUACCCGCCGCCGGAAUAAGGUUUCGGAGCUUUACCAAAACAUUCAAAACAUUUUUCCAUUUAACUUUGUAAAUUUCUAUUCAUUUACCGAGAUCAUUCAUAACGUCUCUUGAUCAGGUCCUCGAGGCCCAAUACAAGCAUUAGAAUUGAAUCGGGACUUAAUCGGGACCUCUAAGAAAUUUUUGCUAAAUUACAAUUUUUUUCCAAGGUGCAAGGCUCACACACCCGUGUGGUCCAAGGGACACGCCCGUGUGACACUGGGACACGCACGUGCUAGAGGCCAUGUUCGACCCCGUGUAAAUCUCUGACUUGCACACACAGCCAUACCACACGCCCGUGUGCUAGGCCGUGUGGUUAAUUAAUUCAAUUUUAAUUAGGUGCAGGUUUCACACGGCCAAGACACACGCCUGUGUUCCAGGCCGUGUGGUACACACGGUUGAGACACAUGCCUGUGCCUCUGCCCGUGUGCCCAAUUCUGAGCAUUUUGUUUCUCAAAAUUUAGGUACAGGGGACACAUGACCUAACCACAUGCCCAUGUUACCAGGCCGUGUGUCACACAUGAUCUAGACACACGCCCGUGUGUCUGUCCGUGUGGAUAAAAUAAAGUCAUUCCUAGCUCCAUUUUUCACCCAAGGUUUCAUCCAAGACCUGCACUUGAGAUACACAACCAAUAGCAACCAAUUCAAGUAUUUAAAUUAGGCAAAUUCAUCAUUAAACAAGGCAUACCACUACAUGCAUAAAUGAUUAUAAAUUUACCUUGGAUUAACUUAGGCAAUAGCAACCUUUGAUAACAUAUUCAUAACAUAUCACAUAUGAACAUAACAUCAUAAUCUACUUAAUCAUACCAAAAUAAGCCAUUACUAGCCAUCCCAAUGGCUAGGUUACAAAAUAACAUUUUCAAACCACUAUUGGCCAAGUUUCUCUAUACAUGCAUUAUACCAAAAUGAUUUGACUAAAUAUACCCAAAAUGCAAGACGAUAGUGUGACGAUGCUCCAGCGAUCUUCCAACCUUCACGAGCUUCUGAGCACUCUAAAACGGGGGAAAAAUAAAAGGAGUAAGCAUUAUGUGCUUAGUAAGUUCAUAUAACAGAAACUAAACUUACCAAUCUUGUUUAUUAAAAUCUAGGCAUACAAGGUUGUGUUUUCAUCCAUUUGGCUAAAUGGCCUAAUCAUAUACAUUCCAUCAAACAUGUUAGUCACCAAACUAUUCAAAUAAAUCAAGUAACAUAAAUGAGCUCAUCAAGAAAUAUUCUUUCAAGUCAUUAUCAAUUCAUCUCAAAGUUCUUGUGCCAUGUCAAGAGUUAUAUGUCCGUUGAAUCGUUGAAAUUUCGAAGAAGGUUUAAAUAACACACUCGAGGUAUACGAUUUAUUAAUUCGUCAAUUCUUAUCAAGGUUGCCCCUUAGAGUACUUAACCAAAGAUCACACUCACAAGCCACGUGUCGUAUAACAAGAUUACCAGUUCAGGCUAAAUCCUUUAUAUAGCGUAUGCUCGCAAGAGCUCAAUUAGGGUUACCAGUCCAAGUUAACCCUAAUCAUAACAUAUGCUCGAGAGGUAUUAUAUCGAGAUUACCCGUCUGGGCUAAAUCUUUUUUUUUUAUAACAAGGUUAUUGGAAUUACUCGUCUGAGCUAAAUCCCGUCCGCAACAAAUGCAGGACCCUACUUGUUUCGGGAAAGCGCACACAAUAAUCGAAAUUCAACAUCCAAUUGGGACUAACCCUUUAUCACCAUUUCAAGUUUAUUUUCAUUUUUCAUCAUAGCAUACAAGUGAAGCACAUCAACGUAAAUCACAUUACCUACAACACAACAAUUAAUUAACAUAAUUACAUGUCCGAUUAAGUUACACGAACUUAUCUCGACACUUGUUUGCAUAAAAGUCUACUAAUCUGAAAUCUUUUCUUUUCUCGAUCUAACCUCGAAUUAGUGUUGUCCAGAUCUAUAUAAAUGAUUUUAAAAAUUAAUUUCAAACUUAGAUGGACUCAAUUUAUGUCCUAGGAAAAAUUACUAUUUUGUCUCUAACUUUUCCAAAAAUUUUGAUUUUGUCCCUAAGCCCUGAAAAUGAAACUUGUACAAAUUACUCCCUAUUCCAAGCCUAACCAAAGCCCCAUUACAAAUUUUCCAGCACAUGUAUUCAUAAAAUUUCAGAAUUUUUCAUCAAAUUUUACAACUUUUCAUUUUAGUCCCUAAAUUUUGUUUUCAUCAAAAAUUACUUUGUAAAAGUUGUUUAUCUAUCAGUAAUUUUUCAUUUUCUACCAUAAAUUUCUAAUUUCCAACAUAAUACAUCCAUGACCAAUUUUCAUACCUUGAUAAAUUUUCAAAUUAAUCCCUCAAAUAGAGAAAUUAAGCUAUACCAAUUUUAAAAAUACCAAAAUUACUAAAAAUGAGACAGGGAAAAUUACCCAAUUAGGCCUUGAAAGCUUCUUUUCUCUCUCCUAGGGUUUCCAUGUAUUUUUAAGGUUGAAUAUGACAAAAUAAGAUGAUAUAAUUCUUUUCAUCUUUUAAUUAAGUAAUAUUUUGCUAUUUCCAAUUUAGUCCUUACCUUUUUUCUAUAAUUUCAUGGAUGAGUCACCAUAAAAAUCUACAUACUUUUAUUAAUGGUUUAAUUACCAUAUAAGGACCUUAAGUUUUGAAUUCCAUAGCUAUUUGAUCCUUAUAGUUACUAGAAUUCAACUUUUGCAUUUUAUGCGAUUUAGUCCUUCUCAUAAUUAAACACUUAAUCGAUAAAAUUUUCAUAUCAAAAUUUUCACAUGUCAUUUCUAAUUUAUUACGGGCCAUAUGAUAAAAUAAAAAUAAAAUAUAUUUUAGGUCCGAUUUGUGGUCCUGAAACCACUGUUCCUAUUUCACUGAAAAAUGGGUUGUUACAAUAAUCACAUAUCAAAAUAACAUGCUUAAGCCAUUCAUUCAUCAACAUGCCAAAUAACAUUUAUAAACAUAUUUAGAAGGAUCAUUUUAAUCACAUUGCCACAUCCACCACAUAGUUCUAAAAUAACCUAUAUGCAUGCCACAAAAACAAAAUAUAAUGAGUCAAAAUCUUCCAAGACUGAAGCUUGAUAGUGUGAGUCUUAAAGUUGAUCGACUGCCUAGUUCUACAAAACGUCAAAUGAAAAAUAAGAAAUGAAACAAAGUAAGCUUAUAAUAGCUUAGUAACUUCAUAUGAAAUUUCAACUUAAAUGCCUUAUCAUUAUAACAAUUUAGGUAUUUGUACUCAAAAACACGAAAUGACAUAUUCUUGGCAUCCUUACUCAUUCGUGUACAUCUCCACAAAAUAAGCAAUAAGUUAGCAUUUCACGUGAUAAGUUCAUAACAUUUGAAUAUGUAUACCUGUAAAAGUAAACUAUUUUACUCAUUCAUAACAUAAUUACAUUUAUGAACCUUAAAUCAAGCUUACGAUGCUUUAAAAAUAGAUUGGGAACAAUCAAUAACUAAUUUGAAACAAAAUAAAAAACUAUAGAAAAUUUUGAAAACAGGGGUUACACAGCCGUAUAAUAGAGCCCAAGUCGUGUGGCUUAAAAACAUGGUCAUGUGGCCAAAUUGUGUACAAUUUGAAGAAAGGGUCACUAUAACUCUUGAAAAGAGUUAUAUUUCAUGCAUUUAGACCUAGCUAAUUGCUUGUACUUAAGUAACAUUUUGUUGCAUUUUUAGGACAUUUUAGUUAGCAUUUUUAAUAUUGCAUUAGGACUUGGACUGUGGUGGAAUUAAGUGUUUUUAAUUGUUUGUGGUGGAGUUUUUUGUUGGUGUGGUAGGAAUAGGUCUUGGAACGAGGAAAAAAGGGAGUGAAGUUUUGUCAGGGCAAAAUGCAGAUAAUUUGCCAGCACAGAUGCCGUGGCAAUGCCGGGAAGACCAAGUCAACAUUUUUCAUAGGACGUUGUGCUGCCGAAGUGUGGACUGGGCAAGUGAAAGCUGUUUCCCAAAGUUCUUCCAUUAUUUCCUUCAAAAGAUUGAAUUGUAAUAGUUUUUUUUAAAUAGAAUGGUUGGGAUUUUAUUCAAAUAGAAGCCUAUAAAGACAGGCCUAACAAAACAAAACAGAAAUUACAACCUAAUGAAGAGGCUAAACAUAAGGGAAACUAGUUUUGAUAAAAAGAAAAGAAAACUGACAAAACAUUAAAAAAAACAUAAAUGAUCCCAACCACCCAGGCAGAUUGUUCAAUUCCAAAGCAUCUGAAAAGCAAAACCCUUCAGUAGCCUGUCAGAGUAUUAUCCUAUCAAUCCUAUCAAUCUGCUUCAAUAAUAUACUAGAAGGUGUUCUUUCAAAAACCACUACACCUCUUCAGAAUCUUGGCACUUCUUUAUCUAAAAAGACCCAAAAAUUCCUCUUCCAGCUAUUUCCUUCCCCUCUUCUAGAACGAGGAACCGAUAUCAGAUGUGGCUUGUACAAUGUAGUUAUCGUCGAUCUACUUCAACAUCAUCGAGUGCAUAGGCAGGAACAUUGCCCACAAGAUAAGUUGCUUCAUUUCUUGUAAGACCAUCUGUAACCAAAGCAUGGGCGCACCGUUUAUAUGCUUUUGUACAUGGUGGAAAACACAGUUUUGGAAAAUCACACAUGACAUACAAAUAUUAUGAAUAUAUUCUACAAUUACUGACUGUUCCCCUUUAUUUUCUUUCAAAUUAUGAAUCCCAGACAAGCAACCUCCUUCGAAUUCUACAUUCAGAAAACCCAUUUGAGCUCCUGUCAAAACCACUUGAAAGCAAGCCAUCGCUUAUGUUGCAAAUGGUGAAGGUAUGUUGGCAUGCAAAAUAAUUUUUGAAAAAAAAUAUUACCUGUGUCGUUUCUAAUAAUAAUCCCAAAACAGGAUCUAUUAUCUUGCUUGCAAAAUCCUGCAUCAAAAUUUAUUUUGACAAAAGGGUUCUGAGGUGCCUUCCACACACCAAUGAGUAUGAUUCGCUCUGCAAUUUUGCUCUUAUCCCUCAUAUUUUCACCCAAAUACUUCUUGAUGAAAUAUCCUAUCUCCUUUACAGUCGCACUUUUCCCUUCAUAUAGUAAUUUGUUGCGUGCAGUCCAGAUUGCCAACAACCCACAAUAAAACAAUCGACAAAGGUACAAGAAACUAUUUUCAAAAGAAUUGUUUCCCUAUUCUUCCAUUUGAGUCAUAUGCAUCUACGUACAUUGUGUGAACCCUAACUGUUGCCAGUUCUCCUUUAUUUGUAAACACUAUUGAAAAACAUGUUCAACUGUUUGUGGUAGCAUAGGUAGUUCACAGAGUUCAUCAACCUCCUGUAGUAUAGGUUUGCUUAAGUAGGCACAUGGUUGUUCAUAAUCCUUUAUAUUGUAAUUUUUAUUUUGGAAGGUAGAUCAAUAUUCCAGAUCCUUUUGUAUAAGUUGGAGUAGGGGUAGAAAUUUCCAUCAGUAGAAAUUUCAUAAUGGUUAUGUAUCAACCAUUUGUAAGCACUUCGGAUCAUAUAUUCUCCCGUAGCUUCACCACUCUAAGUGCGAAAGGAAUGGCUAAAAUCUGUCGAGCAUCAUCAACAACAAAGGUAGAAUUGAUUAAAUCCUCCUUCCAAUUAUUUGUUUACUGGUCUAUUAAAUCUGUCACUCUUUGAAUAGAAUCAUCUUGUAUGGGAUUUUGAAUUCGUUGAUUUUGAUUUCCAGGUAUCCAAGCAUCUGCCCUCACUAAGACCUCAGUACCCAAACCAAUUCUUCAGCACAUUCCAGCCUCCAAAAUGCCCUUGGUGGCCCAUAUGCUUCUCCAGGUAUAGGAAGGUAGUUGUCCUAAACUUGACUCUAUAAAGCUAGUAUUUGGUAAAUAUUUUUCUUUUAGAGUAUGUGUUAAUAAUGAAUCCGGAUAACUAAGCAACCUUUAUCCUUGUUUGGUAAGCAGGGCUAAAUGAAAUUGAGAUAAAGGGCAAAAACCUAGGCUAUCGUAAAUUUUCAAUUCACAUAAUAUGUUCCAUGUACACCAAUGAAUACCACGUUUAUUACUACUUCAACACCACUAGAUUUGACUAAUAAUGUUUUCUAAUUAAGAACAAAUCACUUUUGGUAAUAAAAAAACAUAACAUAGAAUAGGUAGGCAGAACUUGGAGGACUGAUUUUAUAAAUACCUCUCUUCCUUCUUAUGAGAGAUGUCGAGUACUCCAUUUAGAAAUUUUUGUGCCAUCCUAUCCUUAAGACUCUGAAAAGCUUUUCUUUUACCAUCUUUAACAAUGUUUGGUAGGCCUAGGUACUACUCUGACAAUUGUAGUAGCUAAACGUAAUGUCAGAUAACAUUUUGGUUUGGAAUUUUAAUUCCUAACCUAUGAGCUAAAUGUCAUAGGAUUGGGAUUACUUUUGAUGAAACCUUAACUGUUUCUAUGGAUACAAUAUAUAUCUAUUUCACUUUACUGUUACAUUUGAUUGUUCUUAUUUCUUAAUUAAAAUGCAUAUCUCUAGACAUAGAAGACUGUUCGCAUACUUAUAAACUGAUUCUAAUCCAAAAGGGUUGGAUUGGUUGGAUUAAAAUAGACUGGAAUGAGUAAGUAUUCGAUCGACACUUGUAGUCGAAUCUAGACAUAGAGUCACGACCAUAUAGAAGGAACCCAUGCAAGAUAUCUAAAAAGCUUAUAAAAACGGGCAAGGUAACUUGAGGUUUUGUCCUCAUGAAAGGCAGGCUAUUUUAGAACUGUUCCGUGCAGUAAGUAGAUACGGUUUUGCCAAGGAAUUAUUGAUAGUCAGGGUUGAUUCUGGGUAAUCUUGACCUUCCAAAUCAAUAUCACUUUAUCUUUAAUCUGUUGUAGUAUCUUUACCACAUCAUAUUUAGUUGUUUAUUUCUUUAUUUACAUUCUAUUCGAAUAAUCACUCUUGUUAUUGCCAUGACAUUUCUGGUUUCACUUUUGCCAUAUCAUUUCCAAGUAUUCAUUAAUUCCAUCUAUCGCAUACAUCAUUAUUCCUCUAAUUAUCACUGCAUACUUACCUUAAUUUACCGUAGCAUCUUACUCGUUAGUCUUAUCAUAACAUUUUACCAUCACUUGACCAAUUUUGUGCCUCAAUCUUAUCCUCAUGAAAAUGAUACUCACUCAUCACUUUAUUACUUGAACCAAUGUGUAUACUUGCACAAAUUGCAUAUCAUAUUCACUCGUGAUAGUCACAUAAUUGUGCCGCACCCCUUGUAUUUGCCCGUGUACAAAUUGAAAUAGGGUCACACGGCCAUGUUGUGGGUCGUGUCCCAGACCAUAUGAGUAUUCGAAAUGAGGUCACACGACAGUGUCGCUAGGCCAUGUAACUCUCUGUGACCGUGUGGACAAACUUUCACCUAAAACUAAGAAGCCAUACGGCCCUGUGGGGAGGCCAUGUGUGGCACACAACCAUGUGACAGCCUGUGUCUCAGUCUGUGUGUACCUUAGAUAGCUUCUAAACCAAGCCCAAAACACUACCCAUUUCUUAGGUGCCUAACCGAAACAAAAUCGCAUAUUUACAAGCCUUCAAGACACAUUCAAAGAAACUUAAAAAAUACCAAAACAUUCAAUUAAUGUGUGUAACUAAUGUUCCCUCAUUGACACCGUAAUUCAAUUACCAUAACAAAUUCAUUCAAAGUUUACAAAUUCAUACAUUAAACUUGCUAAACUUUCCAUUCAUUCCUACCAUCCAGUCAUUCACAAGUAGCAUAAUUCAACAAAACAUAAAAGUAUGGAAAUUUACAAGCUAUGAGCCAUGACAUAUAUACAAGUGAACCAAGAAUCUAGUUAAAACUACAUCAUCCAAGUAUAAGGUGUAUCAAAAGUAUUAAGUAUUCAAAAACAUAAACAAGACACCAAUUAAAUGUCAUAUAACCUAAAGAUAAACUUGUCAAAAUCUACCGAUAGAUCUCUAGAUAGUGUGAUCUUUACGUUGAACUGAUCACCCGAUUCCACAAAAUGAUAUCUACAGAGAAACAAAAAACUGACACGAGUAAGCUUCUAUAAGCUUAGUAAGUUCAAUGGUUAAAACAAUAAAACUUAUUGAAUAAACAUAUCAUUCACGCAAUACAGUUAAUAGAUAAUAAUCCUGUCAACCACAACCAUUCAACAGGUGAAUCUUUAUGUUUAUACACAUAUUGUAUAAUAUGAUCAAUUAAACUAGAUCAUUCAAUUCCAACUCAUUUUAUACAUUCAAAAGAUCAUGUAGGCAUUUAUAAGAUUAAAUAACGAAUCAUGUAACCAUUGAAAACAUGCCCGGUGAAUGAUAUAAAUGAAUUUGGAUAUACGGUUAACCAUAUGGUACACACCAAAAUGCUCAAACAAGCCAAACCAACAGAGAACACACCUAGGUACUAGCCCGUAAGCUCACAUCCCUUCGAAACACACUUGGGCGCCAAGUGCAAAGCUUGGAAGCUUUACAUCCACCCCUGGUAACACACCAAAAUGACUGUAACUAUAACAUGAUAGUCUGCAACAAAUGUUGGACUUCGGUAUAUUCAGUGGACAGUAAUUGUAACACCCCUCACCUGUAUCCGAAGCCGAGAUAGGGUUCGAGGCAUUACCAGGAUUUCACGUUCUUAAACAUAUUAAAUCAAGUCACUAAGUUGUGUUCUAAUUUAAAACUUUUCAAAUAUGUAUAUUCUUUCCCUUAAACAGGCCUUAAAACUUGCCUUAAGGUGGUGCGGAAUAAAACCGAGAACGUUUGAUAAACUUGGGGCACCUUGGAAAAUUUCUUUCAACUUAGAGUGUCACACGCCCGUGUGACUUGGGACAUGCCCGUCCAAUCACUCCAUGUCCAAGACUUGAGCAUUCUGUUAAAUUCACACGGCCAAGAUACACGCCCUUGUGUCUAGCCCGUGUUCAUUUAACAGACUUACCAUUUUAGAUGCAGGGGACACACGACCAUGCCACACGCCUACGGGUGUGGCCCGUGUGUCACACAAGCACACGCCCAUGUACCCAACCGUGUAGACCCUAUUAGGCUAUUUUCCAAGCCUAUGGUCACCCCCUUUUAACACUUAUACUUAAUGAAUAUUAAAAACAAAGUAAAACAUAAUUAUGCUCUCAUAAAUGAUCUUUGCAAAAACUCAUUGCAUGGAAACCUCAUAUCAUUGGUUUUGUGCAUGCUAGGUUAUUUCCCAUCUUGUAUUUAUGUGUUGUCAUACCACUUUAAUACAUUCAAGAUUGGCUCGUUCUUAUGACUCAUUGCCAAUUGGAAUUUAACCAUCGCACACGACUAUAAACUUGUACGGAAAUUUCGAAGAUCAUAGCCUACUUCAAGGCAAGCCGAUCUGUAUGGCCAUAAACAAAAAGAUAGAUUUAUCUUUAUAAGCCUUCAUUUGGAAAAUCAAAUGACACAUAUAACAAAAUACUCAAAAGACCUAUACAUGCCAUUGAACUAUUUAGAAAUGUCUUUCUACCAAAGCUAGUCUAUUUGAUAGUAUACUGACUCUCCAACCGUCUUCAAAUAUUUACGAGUUUUUGAGCUUUAUGAGAGACAAGAAAAAGAGAGGGGUAAGCAUUUUUAUGCUUAGCAAGCUCAAAUAACCGGAAAGUUAACUUACUUAGUAAUUAGCAUGCAAUCAAAUUGGGUAAUAAAUUCAAUGAGCAUAGGAUGGCUUCCCUAUCACUUACACUCACUCACUGAGUUAGUCACAUAACAAUGCACUAUGAAAGUUAUCUUAGAUGAGCUCCUCAUUCAACAUCUCAUUUGUAUAUAUAUGUCACAUUAAUCUCGUUGAGUUUCUAGGAAAUCUCGAUAGGAUAUCCAUUUACCGUUAAUUUGUACAAUGAUCGUUUCAAAUAUGCACUCCUGCGAACCUCACAUCUUAUGGCAGGAUUACUAGUCCAGGCUAUAUCCCCCAUUUUAUGAUCUCAUAAGGUGAUGUCAGUAUUACCAGUCCAAGCUAAAUCCCUUACAAUGACAAACACCCUUAUUGAGCUCGGAUCUGAAUUACCAGUCCAAGCUAAAUUCAGAUCCUAAUCGGAUUACCCGUCCGGGCUAAAUCCAUAAUACACACAUAUUCUUCGGGAGGCUCGACCAUUCAAAGGAACACCCGUCCGAGCUAGACCCUUUUAUAAAUGAGAUCAACAGAUUACCCAUCCAAGCUAAAUCCUUACUACAACACAUGCAGGACCUCAUUACAUAUGUCAAUCAUGGUUUAUCUAUCGAAUUCCCUUUUUAACCUCAACCGAGACAUUUAUCACAAUUCAUACUUAAACAUGCAUUCAUAAAUCAUAUAAUUAGGCACCUUGAGUGUUUACUUUAAGUUAUCCGAACUUACCUGGUAUUCGUUUCGGAGUCGUAUUUUGGUUAUUCCGAAACCUUUUGUUUUCCUCUAUCGACCACCGGAAUUUGUUCCUUGGGGUCUAUAACAAUAAAAAUAGAUAAUUAACACUCCACAUUAUAAAUUUUAAGUCUAAAUUCCACCCUCGGUCUAAAUGACCGUUUUCCCCUCAACCUUUCACAUUUUUACGAUUUAGUCCCUAGGCUCGUAUAAUGAAAUGCAUGCAAUUUCUACCUUACUCAAGCCUAGCCGAACACUUUUCCUUCUUAUGGUAGCCUACAUUUUCCAUUAUUUUCACAUUUCUACCACAUAUUUUACAACUUUUGCAAAAAUGUCCCUUUAGGGGUUUUUCAUGAAAAUCACCUAGGAAAAGUUGUUUAACACACAUUCAUCUUUCAUUUCCCUCCAUAAUCCAUCAAAAUACAAGUAACUCAUGCAUGGGGAAAUUUUUAAACAUGAACCCUAGCAUGAAAUAUGGGUAGAAAUGGAGAGAGUAAGCUACCGGGAUCUCAAAAUUACAAAGAACAUUAAAAAUGGGGCUUGGGAGCACUUGCUAAAGAGCUUGAAAAGCUUGGAAACCCUAGCUAUGGUGGCUUAGGAAUUUUGACUGGACAAGGGAGAAGAAUGGCUGAUUUUUUUCUUCUUUUUUCUCAUUUUAUUUCAUUAAUAUGCCAAAUGACCAAAAUGCCCUUUCUUUGAAAUUUCAUCCAUGCAAGCCCAUUUUUGUCCAAAAACUUAGAAAUUAGGAAAAUUGCUCCCCAAGACCUUCUAUUUUAUAAUCUAAAGCAAUUUCAUGCAAAUUGCUUCUAGAAUCCAAGUUUUACAAUUUAUUCAAUUUAGUCCCUAUUUUUCCAAUUGCGCACUUACUCAAAGAAUUUCUUCAUGAAACUUUAACACAUGCAUAUUCUCAUAUUCUAAACCUCGUGAUAAUCAUAAAAUAAAUAUUUUGAUGUCGGAUUUAUGGUCCCGAAACCACUAUUCCUACUAGGCCCUAUUUUGGGAUGUUACAUUUCUCCUCCCCUUAGGGACUUUCGUCCUCGAAAGUCUUACCAAUGAAUAGAUUUGGAUAUUAAAUUCUCAUGGUUUCUUUUGGUUCCCAUGUAGCCUCUUUUACACCAUGACGAUGCCAUAAAACUUUUACUAAGGUCACAUCUUUAUUCCUCAGCUAUUUAACCUCACGAGCCAAUAUCUUAACUGGUUCCUCUCCAUAGGUCAUGUCCGGUCGAAUAUCAAUUUCAGUCGGCGAAAUCAUGUGAGAGUGGUCUGGUCGGUAUCGCCUUAACAUAGAUACAUGGAACACAUCGUGAAUCUUUUUCAAUUCGGGUGGUAAUGCCAAACGAUAGGCUAACGGUCCAACUCUUUCAAUGAUCUCGUACGGUUCGAUGAAUUGCGGACUUAGUUUGCCUUUCCGGCCAAACCUCAACACUUUUUUCCAUGGAUACACUUUCAAGAAUACUCUAUCUCCAACUUGAAACUCAAUUUCCUUUCUUUUUAGAUCAACAUAUGACUUUUGCCUAUCCAAUUCCGCUUUUAAACAGUCUUGUAUCACUUUAACUUUUUCUUCAGUUUCUUUAAUCAAAUCAACUCCUUAAAUCUGAUUUUCAUUAAGUUCUGUCCAGUACAACAGAGUUCGGCACUUCCUGCCAUACAAGGCCUCAUAAGGUGCCAUCUUUAAACUCGUCUGAAAACUGUUGUUGUAGGUGAAUUCUACUAGCGACAAAUAUUUUUCCCAACUACCCUGAAAUUCAAGAAUGCAACAUUGCAACAUAUCCUCAAGAAUCUGAAUCAUCCGCUUAGACUAACCAUCUGUAUGAGGGUGAAAAGCUUAACUUUAGCUUAACUUCGUACCCAAGGCUUCUUGUAAUUUCUUCCAGAAUCUUGAAGUGAACCUCAGGUCUCUAUCGAAAAUAAUCGAAAGUGGUACCCCAUGCAGUCUUACAAUCUCAGAAAUGUACAAGUUGGCCAAUCUAUCGAGAGAGUAAUCUGUCCUCACCGGAAUAAAAUGCGCCUACUUCGUCAACUUAUCUACUACGACCCAUACGGCAUCUUUCUUCUUCGGAGUCAAUGGCAAUCCUGUCACGAAAUCCAUAGUAACUCUGUCCCACUUCCAUUCGGGGACUAUCACAGGUUGUAGCAAACCUAAAGGCACUUGAUGUUCAGCUUUAACUUGCUGACAUACUAGGCAUUUUGACACAAAUUCAGAAAUAUCUCUUUUUAUGUCGUUCUACCAGUACAUUUUCUUCAAAUCGUUGUACAUCUUGGUACUUCUCGGGUGAAUUGACAAGCAACUGUUAUGUGCUUCGUGCAAAAUUUUCUGAAUAAGUUCAUUGUUUUGGGGCACACAAACCCUAUCUCUAAACAUCAAACAUCCAUCAAAACCAAUCCCAAAAUCUGAUUCAAUACUUGACUCACAUUGAAUUCUUUUAGCUUGCAAGUCAUCAUCAUUAGUUUGAGCAUCAUAGAUUUCCUGAAGGAAUGUCGACCUAACCUCUAGCUCAGCCAAGACUGAACCAUCAUCAAGCAAUGUCAAACGAGCAUCCAUGGCUCUUAAUGCAAACAAGGAUUUUUUGCUUAAUGCGUCAGCGACCACAUUCACCUUUCCCGGGUGAUAGUCAAUAAUCAGUUCGUAAUCCUUGAUUAACUCUAGCCACCUCCGUUGCCUCAAAUUUAAUUCUUUUUGAUACAUCAAAUACUUCAAACUCUUAUGGUCAGUGAAUAUGCAGCAAGUCUCACCAUUUAAAUAAUGCCUCUAAAUUUUCAAAGAAAAAAUGAUGGCGGCAAGUUCUAGGUUGUGUGUAGGAUAGUUCUUCUCAUGCGGUUUCAACUAUCGUGAAGCAUAGGCUAUUACCUUGCCAUCUUGCAUAAGUACACCACCCAGUCCAUUUGAGGAUGCAUCACUGUAGAGUACAAAUUCUUUUCCCGACUCAAGCAAUACUAAAACAGGAGCUUCAGUUAACAGUGUCUUUAACUUCUCAAAACUUUGUUGACACUUUUUCGUCCAUUCAAACUUAACGUUUUUCUGUAACAAUCUCGUCAUCGGAGUUGCUAUCAUGGAGAAUCCUUUCGCAAAUCUUCGAUAGUAACCUUUUAAGCCCAAAAAGCUUCUAACCUCGGUUACAUUUUUAGGUGGUUUCCAUUCGACGAUAGCAGAAAUCUUACUUGGAUCGACUUGAAUGCCUUCACCUGAAACAAUAUGAUCCAAAAAUCUAACUUUCUGAAGCCAAAAUUCACUCUUGCUAAACUUAGCAUACAGCUACUUUUCCUGCAAAGUUUGCAACACAAUACUCAAGUGUUUUGCAUGUUCUAACUCAUCCCUGGAAUAAAUCAAGAUGUCGUCAAUGAACACAAUGACAAACUUAUCCAAAUAUGACCGGAAGAUCCUAUUCAUUAGAUCUAUGAAUACGGCCGGUGCAUUCAUUAACCUAAACGGCAUGAUGAGAAAUUCAUAAUGACCGUACCUCGUUCUGAAAGCUGUCUUAGGUACAUCCAAUUCUUUAACUCGCAGCUGAUAAUAGCCAGACCUCAAGUCUAUCUUAGAGAACACGGUGGCUCCUUUCAACUGAUCGAAUAAAUCGUCGAUCCUUGGUAAAGGAUACUUAUUCUUGAUAGUUACCUUGUUUAGUUGGCGGUAAUCUAUACAUAAACUCAUCGAACCAUCUUUCAUCCUUACAAUAGAAUAGGAGCACCCCAAGGUGAAAAGCUCGGCCUUACAAAACCUUUAUCUAUCAGCUCCUGCAACUGUGCUUUCAACUCUCUCAGUUCAGUUGGUGCCAUCCUAUACGGAGCAAUUGAAAUAUGAGCUGUCCCUGGCACCCGCUCAAUACCAAAUUCUAUUUCUCUUUCAAGAGGUAAUCCGGGUAAUUCGUCUGGAAAUACAUCUGGGUACUCACAUACUAUAGGCACAGACUCAAUCUUCAACUUUGUUUCCUUAGUGUUCAAUACAAUUGCAAGGUAAACUUCAUACCCUUUUCUCAUAUAUUGAUAAACCGUAAUUUAUACAUAUUUUUACCCUAUCCUUAACGUAUUUUAUGGAUGAUUUUCCAUUAGAAUUGGUGAAUUCGAUUCUCCUAAUGCUUUAAUUUCAUGUUUUAUACUUAGGAGAGCAUAGGACAGCGAAAGGAACGAGAAACUGGCCAAUAACAAAGAAAAAUGGGCCAAAGUACGAAUUCAACAUGGCCUGGAUCUCCUCACACGGGCAGACCACAUGGCUGUGUCAAUUUGGCAGAUUCGAAGCACGACUUACAUGGGUGUGUCCCUGCCGAGCCCAAGUUGAGUCCAAUUUAGAGAAGGCCAAUUUUGAGGGCUUUUAGGCAUUCUAAAGCCUAUAAAUACACCGUAGAGGAGGAAAGUAAUGGGGCACAGAGGGAGGAAGGAAGGAAUUACUUGAAGGAAGCCGAUUGAUCCAUCUUAGAAGCCAGAUUCAUCAUCAAGACUGAAUAUCUCCUUCAAUUUCCCUUCAAGAGUUUUGGGUUUUCUUUAUGUUUUUUACUCAUUAUUCUUCUGAGAUGUUCCCCUUUUUAGUUAUGAACUAAAUCUCCUAAAUACCUAAGGGGGACGAAACCUAAGACGAAUCUUGUUAUUAAUUUCUGAAUUGUAUGAUAAAUAUUUAACUUGUUCAUAAUUAUGUGUUCUUAAUUCUUGUUUUGAUAUCUCAGGAUACUGAUUCAAGAUAAGCUCUUAUUCAGAGGAGGAAUAGACCCUGUCUAAGAGUACAUUUGUCAUAAUUAAGUGGAGUUGAUUACGCGCUUAGAGAUAGGGUGAUAAGAUUUUUUUGGAUUAGGGUGAAACCUAAUAGGGGGAUCCAUAGAUCGAGUUAAUGCAACCUAGGGCAUUAAUUAAAGAAAACUUUCAAUUAUUCAAUCUAGGGAUUAGACAUUAUUAGUCUUAAUAGGGAUAAUAACAUAACUUAGGGAUCUCUACGGAACAAGUUAAAUGAAUAAAUCGUCCGAUUCGGAGUUAGAAUAACAAGUGAAGUCUAGGUGGAUUUUUCCUUAGGUAUUUUUUUAAUUCAAUCGUUUUCCAAAAGUAAUCCCCCAAUUCUACUUUCUGUAAAUUCUUAGAUUAGUUAAUUAGUUAGUUAAAACAAAACCCCCUUAUUCUUAGGCUAGAUAAUAAAAAGAUAGUCAUUACUAGUACUUUUAGUUCCUUUGGGUUCGACAAUCCGGUCUUGCUAAAACUACACUACUAUUCGAUAGGUACACUUGCCUACAUCGCGAUAAUAGUUAGUUUCAAGAAUGAUUAAUUAUAAAUAUUUAAAACUUACUUGUCACGAAAAUUGCGAUCAUAUAUCUCUGAGCAACCAUUGCCGUGAUCACUACCGGAGGCAUACCCAACUCUCUUGAAUCAACAAGUAGAAUCUCACCAUCCGGGCCUUUCAAUUUAAUAUACUUACUACCACAAAUUUACAGUUACAUUAUGCAGUGCUAACCAAUCCAUGCCAAGUAUUACAUCAAAUUCAUCAAAUGGUAACAACAUAAGAUUAGCCGAAAAACAAUGACCCGGAAUCGUCAAAGGACAAUUCAUACAGAUUUUAUCAACCAUGACUGAUCUACCUAGAGGGUUCGACACUUUAAUAAUAAAUUUCGUAGGCUCAAUAAGUAUGUUCAUUCUAGAUACCAAGCUUAUGCAAAUGUAUGAAUGCGUCGAUCUCGGGUCAAUUAAGGCAAUAACACCUGUAUCAAAUAGAGAAAAAGUACCUGUGAUAACAUCAGGAGUAGAGGCUUCCUCUCGAGCGCGUAUCGCAUACGUUCUUGCUGAGGCUCGAGCCUCUAGUUUUGCAGCAUCUUUAGCUACAACUCGACUGCCACCGGCACUUCCAGGAUAUCUCGGAGGUCUACCUCGUGAAAUGGGAGUACUUGACUUUGGGGCUACUUCCCCUUUUUCCUCGACUCGCUUUGGGCAAUCCCUGAGAAAGUGGUCAAGAGAUCCACAUCUAAAACAUGCACCGCUCUUCACUCGGCAUUCUCCAUAGUGAAAUUUGUUGCAACUCUUACACUUCGGCUUUUGAUCAUCUAAACAUCCAACACUAGUUACCAUCGGGAAGGAAGACUUUUGGCUUCGUCGUUUAAAACCUCUCGCUUUACCCGAAUAUCCUACUAAUGAAAUGGAACAUUCAUGCUGGCUCCUUGAUUUCUUUGUGGGAAACGAAAAUGUUUUACCACUAGACCUCUUGCUCGCGACUCGGGCCUCUCUCUUUGCUUGUUUUCUUUCGUUGGUAAGCUCCUCGGCCUUCUUGGCCUGAUCAGCCAAUGCGGCAAAUUCCCAUAUUUCCAGGAUCCCAAUCAACAACUUAAUUUCCUCAUUCAGACCUUCCUCAAAGUGUUUACACAUUUCUGACUCGAUUUGGACCCAUUCAGUUGCAUACUGACUUAACUCUCGUUCGUAUUCCGCUACAAUCUUAUUCCCUUAUUUGAGUUCCAAGAAUUCCUUUCGCUUCGAGUCUAGAAACCGUUGGCUAAUGUAUUUCUUCCUAAACUCUGUUCGAAAGAAAUCCCAAGUGAUAUUUUCCUUUGGCACUACCGAGGAUACAGUCUUCCACCAAUGAUACAUAGUAACUUUUAGAAGAUACACGGCACAUUUCAAACAUUCCUCAGGUGUGCAUGACAAAUCAUCUAACUCUCAUGUGAUGUUCUCGAGCCAAAACUUAUCUACUACGACCCAUACGACAUCUUUCUUCUUCGGAGUCAAUGGCAAUCCUGUCACGAAAUCCAUAGUAACUCUGUCCCACUUCCAUUCGGGGACUAUCACAGGUUGUAGUAAACCUAAAGGCACUUGAUGUUCAGCUUUAACUUGCUGACAUACUAGGCAUUUUGACACAAAUUCAGAAAUAUCUCUUUUUAUGUCGUUCCACAAGUACAUUUUCUUCAAAUCGUUGUACAGCUUGGUACUUCUCGGGUGAAUUGACAAACGACUGUUAUAUGCUUCUUGCAAAAUUUUCUGAAUAAGUUCAUUGUUUUGGGGCACACAAACCCUAUCUCUAAACAUCAAACAUCCAUCAAAACCAAUCCCAAAAUCUGAUUCAAUACUUGACUCACAUUGAGUUCUUUUAGCUUGCAAGUCAUCAUCAUUAGUUUGAGCAUCAUAGAUUUCCUGAAGGAAUGUCGACCUAACCUCUAGCUCAGCCAAGACUGAACCAUCAUCAAGCAAUGUCAAACGAGCAUCCAUGGCUCUUAAUGAAAACAAGGAUUUUCUACUUAAUGCGUCAGCGACCACAUUCACCUUUCCCGAGUGAUAGUCAAUAAUCAAUUCGUAAUCCUUGAUUAACUCUAGCCACCUCCGUUGCCUCAAAUUUAAUUCUUUUUGAUUCAUCAAAUACUUCAAACUCUUAUGGUCAGUGAAUAUGCAGCAAGUCUCACCAUUUAAAUAAUGCCUCUAAAUUUUCAAAGAAAAAAUGAUGGCGGCAAGUUCUAGGUUGUGUGUAGGAUAGUUCUUCUCAUGCGGUUUCAACUGUCGUGAAGCAUAGGCUAUUACCUUGCCAUCUUGCAUAAGUACACCACCCAGUCCAUUUGAGGAUGCAUCACUAUAGAGUACAAAUUCUUUUCCCGACUCAAGCAAUACUAAAACAAGAGCUUCAGUUAACAGUGUCUUUAACUUCUCAAAACUUUGUUGACACUUUUUCGUCCAUUCAAACUUAACGUUUUUCUGUAACAAUCUCGUCAUCGGAGUUGCUAUCAUGGAGAAUCCUUUCACAAAUCUUCGAUAGUAACCUCUUAAGCCCAAAAAGCUUCUAACCUCGAUUACAUUUUUAGGUGGUUUCCAUUCGACAAUAGCAGAAAUCUUACUUGGAUCGACUUGAAUGCCUUCACCUGAAAUAAUAUGAUCCAAAAAUCUAACUUUCUGAAGCCAAAACUCACUCUUGCUAAACUUAGCAUACAGCUACUUUUCCCGCAAAGUUUGCAACACAAUACUCAAGUGCUUUGCAUGUUCUAACUCAUCCCUGGAAUAAAUCAAGACGUCGUCAAUGAACAUAAUGACAAACUUAUCCAAAUAUGACCGGAAGAUCCUAUUCAUUAGAUCCAUGAAUACGGCCGGUGCAUUCAUUAACCUAAACGGCAUGAUGAGAAAUUCAUAAUGACCGUACCUCGUUCUAAAAGAUGUCUUAGGUACAUCCAAUUCUUUAACUCGCAGCUGAUAAUAGCCAGACCUCAAGUCUAUCUUAGAGAACACGGUGGCUCCUCUCAACUGAUCGAAUAAAUCGUCGAUCCUUGGUAAAGGAUACUUAUUCUUGAUAGUUACCUUGUUCAGUUGGCGGUAAUCUAUUCAUAAACUCAUCGAACCAUCUUUCUUCCUUACAAAUAGAAUAGGAGCACCCCAAGGUGAAAAGCUCGGCCUUACAAAACCUUUAUCCAUCAGCUCCUGCAACUGUGCUUUCAACUCUCUCAGUUCAGUUGGUGCCAUCCUAUACGGAGCAAUUGAAAUAGGAGCUGUCCCUGGCACCAGCUCAAUACCAAAUUUUGUUUCCCUUUCAGGAGGUAAUCCAGGUAAUUCAUCUGGAAAUACAUCUGGGUACUCACAUACUAUAGGCACAAACUCAAUCUUCAACUUUGUUUCCUUAGUGUUCAAGACAAUUGCAAGGUAAACUCCACACCCUUUUCUCAUAUAUUGAUAAACCGUAAUUUAUACAUAUUUUUACCCCAUGCUUAAUGCAUUUUAUGGAUGAUUUUCCAUUAGAAUUGGUGAAUUCGAUGCUCCUAAUGCUUUAAUUUCAUGUUUUAUACUUAGAAGAGCAUAGGACAGUGAAAGGAACGAGAAAAUUGCCAAAAACAGAGAACAAUGGGCCAAAGUACGAAUUCAACACGGCCUGGACCUCCUCACACGGGCAGACCACACGGCUGUGUCAAUUUGGCAGAUUCGAAGCACGACUUACAUGGGCGUGUCCCUGCCGAGCCCAAGUUGAGUCCAAUUUAGAGAAGGCCAAUUUUGAGGGCUUCUAGGCAUUCUAAAGCCUAUAAAUACACCGUAGAGGUGGAAAGUAAUGGGGCACAGAGGGAGGAAGGAAGGAAUUACUUGAAGGAAGCCGAUUGAUCCAUCUUAGAAGCCAGAUUCAUCAUCAAGACUGAAUAUCUCCUUCAAUUUCCCUUCAAGAGUUUUGGGUUUUCUUUAUGUUUUUUACUCAUUAUUCUUCUGAGAUGUUCCCCUUUUUAGUUAUGAACUAAAUCUCCUAAAUACCUAAGGGGGAUGAAACCUAAGACGAAUCUUGUUAUUAAUUUUUGAAUUGUAUGAUAAAUAUUUAACUUGUUCAUAAUUAUGUGUUCUUAAUUCUUGUUUUGAUAUCUCAGGAUACUGAUUCAAGAUAAGCUCUUAUUAAGAGGAGGAAUAGACCCUGUCUAAGAGUACAUUUAUCAUAAUUAAGUGGAGUUGAUUGCGUGCUUAGAGAUAGGGUGACAAGAUUUUUUUGGAUUAGGGUGAAACCUAAUAGGGGGAUCCAUAGAUCGAGUUAAUGCAACCUAGGGCAUUAAUUAGAGAAAACUCUCAAUUAUUCAAUCUAGGGAUUAGACAUUAUUAGUCUUGAAUAGGGAUAAUAACAUCACUUAGGGAUCUCUACGGAACAAGUUAAAUGAAUAAAUCGUCCGAUUCGGAGUUAGAAUAAUAAGUGAAGUCUAGGUGGAUUUUUCCUUAGGUAUUGUCUUAAUUCAAUCGUUUUCCAAAAGUAAUCCCCCAAUUCUACUUUCUGUGAAUUCUUAGAUUAGUUAAUUAGUUAGUUAAAACAAAACCCCCUUAUUCUUAGGCUAGAUAAUAAAAAGACAGUCAUUACUAGUACUUUUAGUUCCUUUGGGUUCGACAAUCCGGUCUUGCUAAAACUACACUACUAUUCGAUAGGUACACUUGCCUACAUCGCGAUAAUAGUUAGUUUCAAGAAUGAUUAAUUAUAAAUAUUUAAAACUUACUUGUCACGAAAAUUGCAAUCAUAUAUCUCUGAGCAACCAUUGCCGUGAUCACUACCGGAGGCAUACCCAACUCUCUUGAAUCAACAAGUAGAAUCUCACCAUUCGGGCCUUUCAAUUUAAUAUACUUACUACCACAAAUUUACAGUUACAUUAUGCAGUGCUAACCAAUCCAUGCCAAGUAUUACAUCAAAUUCAUCAAAUGGUAACAACAUAAGAUUAGCCGAAAAACAAUGACCCGGAAUCGUCAAAGGACAAUUCAUACAGAUUUUAUCAACCAUGACUGAUCUACCUAGAGGGUUCGACACUUUAAUAAUAAAUUUCAUAGGCUCAAUAAGUAUGUUCAUUCUAGAUACCAAGCUUAUGCAAAUGUAUGAAUACGUUAAUCUCGGGUCAAUUAAGGCAAUAACACAUGUAUCAAAUAGAGAAAAAGUACCUGUGAUAACAUCAGAAGUAGAGGCUUCCUCUCGGGCGCGUAUCGCAUACGUUCUUGCCGAGGCUCGAGCCUCUAGUUUUGCAGCAUCUUUAGCUACAACUCGACUGCCACUGGCACUUCCAGGAUAUCUCGGUGGUCUACCUCGUGAAAUGGGAGUACUUGACUUUGGGGCUACUUCCCCUUUUUCCUUGACUCGCUCUGGGCAGUCCCUAAGAAAGUGGUCAAGAGAUCCACAUCUAAAACAUGCACCGUUCUUCACUCGGCAUUCUCCAUAGUGAAAUUUGUUGCAACUCUUACAGUUCGGCUUUUGAUCAUCUACACUUCCCAGACUAGUUACCAUCGGGGAGGAAGACUUUUGGCUUCGUCGUUUAAAGCCUCUCGCUUUACCCGAAUAUCCUACUAAUGAAAUGGAACGUUCAUGCUGGCUCAUUGAUUUCUUUGUGGGAAACGAAAAUGUUUUACCACUAGACCUCUUGCUCGCGACUCGGGCCUCUCUCUUUGCUUGUUUUCUUUCGUUGUUAAGCUCCUCGGCCUUCUUGGCCUGAUCAGCCAAUGCGGCAAAUUCCCAUAUUUCAAACACUCCUCAGGUGUGCAUGACAAAUCAUCUAACUCCCAUUUGAUGUUCUCGAGCCAAAACUCAGCUCUUUCAGUAUCAUCAUCAACUUUAGCUCUAAAUUCCUCAGCCCCAUACUUUCUAAGCUUAUCAACAGGGGCUUUACCAAUUCUUACCGGUGCCAUACCUCGUGGCACAUCCUCAUCAGCUUGGUUAGGGGCCGGGGGAGGUCCUGGUAUGUUGGGGCGAUUCCUCAGGUAAUCCCCAAACCAAUCAUCCAUCAUUUCAAAGAAGACAGCUCGGGUCUCUUCUCGGCCUUCAGACAUAAGCCUUCUACUACUACUAGAUACAGCUCGUUGUACGGAAGUUGGAGCAUGGCUCUCGGCUCCCUCAAACUCAUCUUGUGCUUGAUUGGAAGACAUUUACUAUAUUCAAAACAAUUUAAACAGUUAGGAGACGUCACACUAUCAAUAUUCGAAUAAUGGAAUGUAUAGCAAACCUCAAUACUCUUUACAAUAGUCUUAGAACCGACUAAAUUGUAGCUCUGAUACCACUAAGUGUAACACCCCUCACCCGUAUCUGAAGUCGGGAUAGGGUUUGAGGCGUUACCGGGAUUUCAUAUUCUUAAACAUAUUAAUCCAGUUACUAAGUUGCGCUCUAAUUUAAAACUUUUCAAAUAUGUAUAUUUUUUCCCUUAAACAGGCCUUCGAGACCUAAAACUUUCCUUGAGGCGGUGCGGAACAAAACUGAGAACGUUUGAUACACUUAGGGCACCUUGGAAAAUUUCUUUCAACUUAGAGUGUCACGCCCCCAUGUGACUUGGGACACACCCGUCUAAUCACCCCAUGUCCAAGACUUGAGCAUUCUGUUAAAUUCACACGGCCAAGAUACAUGCCCAUGUGUCUAGCCCGUGUUCAUUUAACAGACUUACCAUUUUAGAUGUAGGGGACACACGACCAUGCCACACACCCACGGGUGUGGCCCGUGUGUCACACAGGCCUAAGCACACGCCCAUGUACCCAACCGUGUAGACCCUAUUAGGCUAUUUUCCAAGCCUAUGGUCACCCCCUUUUAACACUUAUACUUAAUGAAUAUUAAAAACAAAGUAAAACAUAAUUAUGCUCUCAUAAAUGAUCUUUGCAAAAACUCAUUGCAUGGAAAGCUCAUAUCAUUGGUUUCGUGCAUGCUAGGUUAUUUCCCAUCUCGUAUUUAUGUGUUGUCAUACCACUUUAAUACAUUCAAGAUUGGCUCGUUCUUAUGACUCAUUGCCAAUUGGAAUUUAACCAUCGCACAUGACUAUAAACUUGUACAGAAAUUUCGAAGAUCAUAGCCUACUUCAAGGCAAGCCGAUCUGUAUGGCCAUAAACAAAAAGAUAGAUUUAUCUUUGUAAGCCUUCAUUUGGCAAAUCAAAUGACACAUAUAACAAAAUACUCAAAAGACCUAUACAUGCCAUUGAACCAUUUAGAAAUGUCUUUCUACCAAAGCUAGUCUAUUUGAUAGUAUACUGACUCUCCAACCGUCUUCAAAUAUUUACGAGUUUUCGAGCUUUAUGAGAGACAAGAAAAAGAGAGGGGUAAGCAUUUUUAUGCUUAGCAAGCUCAAAUAACCGGAAAGUUAACUUACUUAGUAAUUAGCAUGCAAUCAAAUUGGGUAAUAAAUUCAAUGAGCAUAGGAUGGCUUCCCUCUCACUUACACUCACUCACUGAGUUAGUCACAUAACAAUGCACUAUGAAAGUUAUCUUAGAUGAGCUCAUCAUUCAACAUCUCAUUUGUAUAUAUAUGUCACAUUAAUCUCGUUGAGUUUCUAGGAAAUCUCGAUAGGAUAUCCAUUUACCGUUAAUUCGUACAAUGAUCGUUUCAAAUAUACACUCCUGUGAACCUCACAUCUUAUGGCAGGAUUACUAGUCCAAGCUAAAUCCCUUACAACGACAAACACCCUUAUUGAGCUCGGAUCUGAAUUACCAAUCCAGGCUAAAUUCAGAUCCCAAUUGGAUUACCCGUCCUGGCUAAAUCCAUAAUACACACAUAUUCUUCGGGAGGCUCGACCAUUCAACGGAACACCCGUCGGGGGUAGACCCUUUUAUAAAUGAGAUCAACAGAUUACCCGUCUAGGCUAAAUCCUUACUACAGCACAUACAGGACCUCAUUACAUAUGUCAAUCAAGGUUUAUCCAUCGAAUUCCCUUUUUAACCUCAAACGAGACAUUUAUCACAAUUCAUACUUAAACAUGCAUUCAUAAAUCAUAUAAUUAGGCACCUUGAGUGUUUACUUUAAGUUAUCCGAACUUACCUGGUAUUCAUUUCGGUGUCAUGUUUUGCUUAUUCCGUAACCUUUCAUUUUCCUCGAUCAAUCUCUGAAAUUUAUUCCUCGGGGUCUACAAUAACAAAAAUAGAUCAUUCACACUCCACAUUAUACAUUUCAAGUCUAAAUUCCAUCCUCGGUCCAAAUGAUCGUUUGCCCCUAAGUUUUCACAUUUUUACGAUUUAGUCCUAGGCUCGUAUAAUGAAACGCAUGCAAUUUCUACCGUACUCAAGCCUAGCCGAACACUUUUCCCUUUUAUGGUAGCCCACAUUUUCCAUUAUUUUCACAUUUCUACCACACAUUUUACAACUUUUGCAAAAAGGUCCCUUUAGAGGUUUUUCAUGAAAAUCACCUAGGAAAAGUUGUUUAACACACAUUCAUUUUUCAUUUUCCUCCAUAAUACAUCAAAAUACAAGUAAUUCAUGCGUGGGGAAAUUUUUAAACAUGAACCCUAGCAUGAAAUAUGGGUAGAAAUGGAGAGAGUAAGCUAUCGGGAUCUCAAAAUUUCAAAGAACAUUAAAAAAGGGGCUUGGGAGCACUUACUAAAGAGCUUGAAAAGCUUGGACCCUUAGCUGUGGUGGCGUAGGAAAUUUGGCUGGACAAUGGAGAAGAAUGGCUGAUUUUUCCUUCUUUUUCUCAUUUUAUUUCAUUAAUAUGCCAAAUAACCAAAAUGCCCUUUCUUUGAAAUUUUAUCCAUGCAAGCCCAUUUUUGUCCAAAAACUUAGAAAUUGGGCAAAUUGCUCCCCAAGACCCUCUAUUUUAUAAUCUAAGGCAAUUUCAUGCAAAUUCAUUCUAGAAUCCAAUUUUUUCAAUUUAUUCAAUUAAUCCCUAAUUUUCCAAUUGGGCACUUACUCAAAGAAGUUCUUCAUGAAACUUUAACACAUGCAUAUUCUUAUAUUCUAAACCUUGUGAUAAUCAUAAAAUAAAUAUUUUAAUGUCAGAUUUGUGGUCCCGAAACCGCUAUUCUUACUAGGCCCUAUUUUGGGAUGUUACAGUAAUGAAUCCAUAAUUACCAUUUCAUCAGAAGUCAAACCCGUACCGCACACAUUAAAAACCUAUUAGCAUGCCAAUUGUAUCCUGUCCUAUGUUCAUUUAGGUAAAAAAAAGUCAUCAUUUAACAAUGUUUAAACAAUUACUUACUCAAUUCAUGUGAGUUUAUAAUAAACCAAUUAUACCAAUAUAUUUAACAACUAAUUUCACAAUCAAUAUAACAUAUCAAAUUAUACUAAACUGAACCGAACAAGCUUACCAAUGCUAAAUUGCAGUGACAACAAAAGUUCAGAGACUAAUCAAUAUUUUUUCCUUUUUCUCAGUUAUCUAGUUGUUCUUGAUCAUGCAACUAAUUUAACUUGGUUGAUUCCUUAAUCUCCCUCAACCAUGGAGUUUUUAGUUUUGGAAAAAGAAAACAAAGAAGAUGAUAGGUUCUACCGUUUGUUAUUUGUUUAUUUAUUAUUUAAUUACCUUAUUAACCUUAAAAGUUUUUUCAUAAAAUACCAACCUAAAUCGUCCACUACAAAAAGAUAAGGUUUAAUUACCUUAUAAGACCCUCGCUUCAUGUUUUAAUAUCCAUUUAACACGUAUAACCUAUUAAUGGUUUACUUUUGCAGCUUUUACAAUUUAGUCCUUUUUAAUUAAUUAAGUAUUUUAAACAUCGAAGUUUCUAAACCAAAUUUUAAAACGAUACUAGUGACCUCGUAAAUUGUAACACCCCAAACUCGGCCUAAAUGUUAUGGCCGAAUCAGAGAGUGUUACGAAGAAGGGUUUGGAACAAAUGUUAAUUACUUCUUAAAAAGAGUCCGAGUUCUAAAACAUAUUCAUUACCAAAAUCCUUGUUAGUUUUCUCUUUCACCAAAACAUAAUCUGCAGCGAAAAUCUUAAAAGCCGUUAUAGUUGAAAACUGAAUUUUUGCGUUUUUUAAAAAUCAUUUGUUUGUGUAAAACCAUGAUUUUGUCAAACGUUGCAAUAUAAAAGCCCAAACACAAUCAAAACCAAAAUUAAAACAAAAUAGUCCAAAGUGUCCCAAAAUUACAAAACUGUAAAAAUAGUCCAAAUUUUAAAUAAAAACCGUAAUUGAAAAUAGUUAGCAAACUAGUGGCCACUGUUGAGACUCCGUCGUACCGGCCCGCCUAUGCUUGAGGAUUACCUAAACAGAUUGGACAAAUAGAUAUGAGUUUUCAUAACUCAGUGUGUAACUCACAGAAAUAUACAUGCAUAAAAUUCAGAUUUCCAGUAUUUCAGAAAAAAAGCGAACAUAAGUCCCUAACAGAGUCAAAUCAUAUCAGAAUCAAAUUUUCAGAAAUAUAUAGAUAUAUAGAGUCCUACCCCGUCCUCUAUACACCAUUUCCGUCUAUUCCAACACACCAUGUGGGGUAUAAAGUACCCACCCAUCCUUAUACACCAUAUAGUGUCAACACGACACUUAUCAGAAUAGUAUGCAGACAAGCUGCCAGUAUAUCAGCAACAUGUUGCCUCACAGAACACUUCUUCCACAUAUACAAAGCCCACCUCAUACACAGAUACAUAUAAAAAAUAUAGAUAACAGAUGCAGAUAUUUAGAAUUAACGUGUCUCGCAUGCUCAUAUACAUAUAUCAUACAUGCUUUUACAAAAUAGAUAAAUCAUACAUAUCAAUUUUUGAAUCUCAAAUUAGUCUAUCAGAUUAAAAAGAUAUCAUGUUUUAGGGUUUAUUUACCUUUACUUGCCAUACGAAAGGCCCACAAUCGAUCAAAACGACUUAUACGACCUAGGGAAACUUUUAAAUUAUAGGCCAACACGCCUGUGAUAGCCCACACACCCAACUCAGCCUAUCUCAUGUGGUCGUAUUACCCGUCACAUGACACACGACCGGGCACACGCUCGUGUGGUAUCAACAGGUCACUUUUUAGCUUUCGUCAAAUCGUGAUUUCUUAUGUUUUCGCUAAACAUCUAGCUCGUUUUUUAUGCGAAAGCAAUCCCAAAACCACCAGAACCUAAAAAUGGCAUACCAAACACCUUUUUAGCAAUUUAAUUUACGAAACGACAAUAAUAACCCAAACAAUGCACAUGAACUUAUCGGCAUACCAAACACCCUUUUAGCAAUUUAAUUUACAAAACGACAACAAUAACCCAAACAAUGCACACGAACUUACCGACGAUGAAAAUGACCUCUAACACGAAUCAGGUCGUUGGAGUGCAAUUCACUGCUUCACAGUCUUCUCCUACGCAACACACAUUCACAGAGAUUAAAUCCUCUUACUUCACAUCAUUAAUGAAAUUCAAACAGAAAUAAACAAUUCUAAACAGCUUACAAAAACCUAAACCCACAAACAAGUGGAAACCCUACUUAUCAAAAUCGCAUCAUGAACACCAAAAUUUCUGAAAUCCAAUGAUACAAACAAUAGGUUAUGGACAGGAUUGCAAGAAAAUAAAAAAGAAGAAGAAGAGUUGCAGAGAAGGGAAGAAACUAACGUUAGAAGCAAAGUUUAAGAAGAGAGAGAAAAUAGAAAAUAAAAUAAAAUUUAAGUUCAAAUAAAAUCCCCCAAAAUAAGGAAUGAUCUCAUACUCCAACCAAUCUUAACUACCCACUCACUCAUCAACUAACAUAGACUUUUAACUCUACCGAACCUCUAUCAGACGAUCGCAACAAAAAUAUCAUCCACGCUCACGAGGGGAUUCGAACACGGAACGUUAGGGUAAGCUAACACCUUACCAUUUGAACCAGUAGGCUCAUUCUGAUAUGAGUUUACCAGAAAUAUGAUAUAAGCCCACCAACAGAGAUUAAGCUAGGAUAAAAAAUAAUAAAAUUUACCAAAAGUGGGACUUGAACCCAAGACUUCAAACACAUAUCCAGAACACUUAGCCACUAAAGCAAAUACUCAUUUGUGGAAAAAUUCACAGAAACAAGGUUAAGAUAUUUAGGGCGUUACAUAAAUAUUAAAUAAUUAAUAUUUACGAAUUGACACGUCGAAUUUGUGGUUUCAAAACCACUGUUCCUAAUACCACUGGAAAAUACAUUAUUACAUCAGUAGACCCAUAUCUGAAGAAAGCUUCAAUCCUUCUCCAACACUCACCCGAAUGGUGUCUAUUACAAUACUCAUAAAAUAGAACUCACUCAACCCUGGCAGCUGGCUCAACAUGCUAAGGUCUCGCAACCCUAACCUGUUUCAUAAGCCGCUGAAAAGAACUAGAAGGACUCGAAUCUCUCUUAUUCUUAUUUUGGUUCUUUUCCUUAUCUCUUUUCUCUUGCUCCACGCACUUAAUCUCCUCGGUAAUUUUUGCCUUCUCCACCAAAUUUUCAAAGACUCACCUCCGCUGAAGAGUUACUAAUACUUUAAUAUCGUACUUUAGUCCUUCCCCAAACCAGAUACUCUUAUCAUACUCAGUCCCAACUAAACCUCAAGUAUAUCUGCUCAACCCUAGAAAUUCAGCCUCAUACUCAACCACAUAUCUCUCACCCUGAGUUUGUCCCAUAAACUCACGUCUAACGGCCUCAAUAUAACUCGCCCCCACAUAUUUAUUCUGGAAAGCGCUCCAAAAAUAGGCCCAAGUCACUCACUUAGUUGGGUACCCUCCACAACAUUCAGCAACCAUUAAUAUGUUUCGUUGUGAAGCAAAGAUACCACACCCUUCAGUUUCUGCUUGGGGUUGCAGUCUAAAUCAUUCAUUAUUCUUUCUAUAGCCUCUAACCAGUACUCAGCCAUAAUCGGGGCGAUCCUAACUACACUUCUAAACAGUUCUACUCCACUAGACCAAAGUUGUUCAAUUACCGACCGUUAGCUCCCAAAUCCAGUGUGGGUCCUAAUGACCCUCUUUAACACCUUCAACAUAGCUUCGGAUAAUGUUUCGUCCCCAACAAUUUGAGCCCUAGACCUAGUCUCAACGGUAGGAGUUCCAAUAGUCUCACUUAUUUCUAAAUUGGGCAUACUACUCAUCGAAGAUGGCUCAGCUCGAGCCCCUCGACAGUAACCUUCGCAACCAUGGGUACCACUAUCUUAUCUAUAAUUUUAGAGUUUUAUGAAUUAAUUUAGGUUUAGAAACCUUAAAUCUAAAGUUUUAUCAAAAGUGCUUAGCAGGGUUUAGAGAAUGUUUUAAUUUUCUAGGGUCUAGAGGCAAAUAAUUAUACUAAAGUAGCAAAUAUAAUAGUAUCUAAAGUAUAACUAAAAUUUCAAAGUUUCUUACUAGGAUUGGUGCUGGAGCCUCGGUUUUAUUUUUCAAAAAUCAAAAGGUCAAAUUGAAAUAAAAAUUCCAAAUACUGCAAAUAUAUAUUUUAAACAUAUUUAACCCAAAAUACACAAUCCAAGUUUUGCAACCUGACUCUGAUACCAACAAAUGUAACACCCCAAACCCGGCCUAAACGUUACAGUUAGAUUAUGAAGGUUAUAUUGUCAUGUAAAAUAUUGUUCGUUUAUUUUCGUGAAAACUCGGAUUCAAUUGAGGGUAAAUAAAAUUAAUUUAUUUUACAAAAAUAUAAGUCUCUAGAAAUCCGUUAGAGAGAGCGCUUCGAAGAAAACUUGUCUUAUUAAUUAUUUUUUAAACAACUCUUUUAGCUCUAACUACUCGAUAUUGCAAAACAGCAUUUUAUUAAUUAUGAAACCUUUUGCAACAGAAAAAUAACUUGGGAUUCUUAAUUUUUAAAAUCAUAAUUUUUAUUGGUUACACUAUCUUGUUAGAAAUAUCAAUUAAAGCAUUAUGUUUACAAAGUAAAAAAAAUAAAAAAAAUAUCAAAACAAAUAUCCUAAAAGAAUUUAAAAAGUUUCAAAGUCCAUAAAGUCCAUAUUUAACCCAAAAUAUUCUUAAAAUUGAAAAUGUUUAAAUCAAGCUUCGAAAUCACCACCAAAUACUAAGUUUGAGGAUAACCUGAAACGAAUCAAACAGACGAGAAGUUGGAAGCCCAGUGUUUGUGUAACAGCCCGAUUUUAGCUAAAUCAGAACAGUGGUUUUGGAACCAUAAAUUCGAUGUCAAAAAAUUAUUUUUAAUAUUAUUUUCGAUAUUUACAGCAUGUUAUUUGAUAUGUGUGAAAAUUUCGUGAGCUAAUUUUAUCGAUUGGUUGGUUAAUUUGUGAAAAAAGGACUAAAUCUUGAAAAAAGAAAAAGUUGCAUUCUACUUGUUAAAGGUGUUUAAUUGCUAUGAUUUAUUAAAUUAAAAGUCCUUAUGAUGAUAUUAGACCAUUUCUAGUGUUAAUGGACAAUAAUGACCAUCCAUUAUAUGUUUUUAUAUGUUUAUAACAAAGGUUAUUAUAGUAAAUUGAUAAAUUAAGUUAAUUAAAUUAUAUCAAAGAUGAAAUUGUGCUCAUCUUCUUCCUUGGCAACCAAAAAUAGAAAAAAAGAUAGGGUUUGAAUCUUUUUAAGUUUCGGCACACUCCUAGCUUGAUUAAGAUCAAGAAAGAAAAAAUUCAGACUUAGAUUGGGAGAAAACAAGGUUAUCGAGUAGUCAACCCGAUCCGUCAAUUUCAAAUACGAGGUAAGUUCGUAUGUUAUAAUUUCGUUACAAAUGUAUUUAUAUGCUUUGAUAUAUCAUGAAUUGUGAUUAUGUGAUUACAGACAAGUUUGGAAAUGAUUUGAUGAUGAUUCGACAGUUGGAAUCCCAGUUGAACCUUAGGAAUAGUUUAGGAUGCUAGUGACAUGUCAUUAGGUAUACUUUAAGUUGGCUUUGGGGCAUGUUAUUAGCAUUUCGGAUACGAAAAAUACCAAUUUGGCUUCGAGCCAUGAUAUCAAAAUUUCAGAUAAGUUACUUUGAUUCGGCAUGCCAUGGUAUAGGUACUUAUCGUGAGAGACCUUGAGUAUCCGACUUCUAUUCCGAAUGGUGUAAUGAGUAAAUGAAAGAUGUAGUUGAGUAUGAGAUUGGUACGAGAUGGUACGAGUACUUACGGUAAUGAAUUGAGUGUUGAAACUAUGGAAUUGAUGAGUUCCUUGGUAAGUUAUAUGAAUGACAAUUUGAUAUCUUUAAGAUUUAAUAAAAUUGUUGUAUAUCGUUUUUCUAUUAUUUGAAUGAUGAAUGAAUGGUGAUAGUUGCUUAAUGUUCACAUACGAGCUUCCUAAACUAUGAAGCUUACUUCGUGUUAUUUUUCUAUGUUUUUAUAGUGAAUCAAGACAAGUUCGGAUCCGGGAGUCGUCGGGAACAUCAUCACACUAUCAAACAUCUAAUUUGGUACUUUUGAGUUAUACAUUUAUGGUAUAUGGCAUGUAUAGGCUAGAUGUGGUAUUUUGGUUGUGAUUAUAGCCAUGAGAUUUGGCUUGUAAAUUGUAUAUGUUUUGGUUUGUAUACAUAGCCAUGAGUGAUGGCUUAUUUUGGUAUGUUUGGUAUGAAUGUGGUUAUGGUUUUAUAGUUGCUCAAAUGGUUAAUUGAUUUGUGAAGUAUAAGUGCUUGAGAAAUGCCUUGAUGAUAUAUGAUUUUAUAUGUUGUGUUGGUUAUUUAUAAGAAAGUUAUGUGUGUGUGAAUUGUGGUAAAUGAACUACAUAGAUUGAUAUUGUUUUGGCAUGUAUUUGGCUAAGUAAAUAGUAGUGACUUGAGAUUUGGAAUAGAUGAAAUUAUAAUGGUAUGAAUUGUGCAUUUGGUUGAUGAUUUUGGCUACCUAAUUGUAUGAUGAAAUUGUAUCAAUUUGGUUUUUUAGGUGAGCAUGAAUAAGGGUGGAAAAUUGGCCUUAAAAAUGGCUUAUUUUUGUCCAUAUGGACAGAGACACGGGCGUGUGUCUCGACCGUGUGCAACACAUGGUCAUGUUACACGGUCGUGUGUCUCCUGGUGUUGAUAUUAAAAUGAAAUCAAUAUGCUCCACACAGUCUCACACACGGGCGUGUGACCGGCCGUGUGGUACAAGUCAGUAUAUUCCCUAAUUCGCACACGGCCUAGCACACAGGUGUGUGAUUGGCCAUGUUGCAUAAGUUAGUAUACCCUACUAUUUUGGCACGGGCUAGCAAACGGCCUGGUACACGGGUUAAAUGCAUGGUCGUGUGGUUAACCGUAUGACCCAAGUCAAUAUGUAUGCCCUUCUUCUACACGGCCUGAGACACGGGCGUGUCUGAAGCCGUAUGAGGCACACGGCCUGUUCACACGAGCGUGUGACCCCUGUAUAGUUGAAAUUUUUCUAAGUUUCCAAAAUUUUUAUAUGUUAUCGGUUUAGUCCCAAACCACUUCUAAAGAAUGUUUAAGGCCUCGUAAGCCCUUAUAAGAGACAAUGUGAUUAUGUUAAAUGAUUUAUGAGAAUGAAUGCUUUAUGUUUGAUAAAUGUAUGCUAUAUGUUGUGAAUUGAUCGAAAAUACCUCAUAAUCCUACUCCGGCGACAGAUACGGGUUAGGGUGUUACAUUUUAUUGAUAUUAGAGCUACGGUUUAGUCAAAUCUAGGACUAAAAUAACUUGUGUGAGAGUCUAGCUAUACAUGCCAUAUAUAAACUGUAAUAGUGUGAUGACUCCUGACAUUUUAAAAUGUGUUUUCCAAUAGUAAUAGAUCCCAAUCGAGCUAUAGCCGAUGAGGUUUAGAGUAAUGUGCCUGCUCCCGUGCAAGGGACAACGCCAUCUGAUUCUAGACCUGUGUCGGAUAGCCAGGGAAGAGAGGCUAGAGAAGCCUUCUUCCAAAUGAUGAACGAAUGGUUCACUCAAUACAUUCGUAAGAAAUCGGCUGCUCAGCAACCUCCACCCCCACCUAUUCCUCAAUAAAUCCCUAUUAUUCCUCAAGUUAUAGAUCUGAUACGGUUGAAUAAGCCUCCAGUUGACAAGAUCCGCAAACAUAGGGCUGAAGAGUUCAGAGCUAAUGCUGAUUAUGAUGCUGAGAGAACUGAGUUCUGGCUCAAAAAUAUGAUUCCAGUAUUUGAUCAAUUGUCUUGUACUCCUGAUGAAUAUAUUAAAUGUGUUGUAUAUUUGCUGAGAGACAUCGCGUAUCAAUGGUGGAACAUGGGUUACUUGGGAGUUCUUUCAAUUCAAAUUUCGAAAGAAAUACACCAGUCAAAGAUUUCUCGAUCAAAAGCACAAAAAGUUUCUAGAAUUAAAAUAAGGCCGAAUGACUGUGAUAGAAUAUGAAAGAGAAUUUGUACGGUUGAGCAAGUACGUUAGGGAGUAUGUUUCUAUCGAAGAAAUUAUGUGUAAGCGGUUUGUCGACGAACGAAGAUAUUAAACUUUUGGUCAGGAUAUUAGAUUUAAAAGAAUUGGUUAUGUUAGUUUAUCGAGCUUGUAAAGCCGAAGACUUUAGCCUAGAAAAGAAAAAAGCUGAUUUAGAGGCUAGAGAUUCGAGAAAAAGACCGAUGAAUAAACCUUAUCAUUCUUUAUCAAAGAAAUUAUGAGAUUCAUAUAGCCAAUUGAAUGCAUCUGUGGGGUACCAGAAUAGAGAUCGUGGAUAUCAACAUGUGAAUUCUAAAGCUCAAGCUACUUCUAUUUCGAUUGUUGGUAGUGUAAGAAAUAACAAACCUGAAUAUCAACAGUGCGGGAGAAGACAUUUUGGUGAAUGCUAGAAUAAGAGUACUAAAGCUUGUUUCAAAUGUGGCUUCCUGGAUCAUUUUAUUAAAGACUGUUCUUAGAUGAUUAAGAAAGAUAAACCUCAAAAUGUGAGACCAAGUAAUAUGUCGACUACGGGAAGACCAACAGGAAAUGCUGGAAAUGUGAGUGGUAGUCGAGGGGCGACAAAGGACUCCGCUGUGAGAUCCGAGGCCAAAGCACCUGCUAAAGCCUACGCUAUUGACGCUUGCAAAGAAACGUCAUCUCUAGAUGUUAUCACCAGUACUUUCACACUCUAUGAUACUAAUGUGAUUGCAUUGAUAGAUCCAGGAUUAACUCAUUUUUAUAUAUGUAUGAAUUUAGUAUCUAAUAAGACUUUACUCGUAGAGUCUACUGAAUUUUUUAUUAGAGUAUCGAACCCCUUAGGAAAAUGUGUUUUGGUUGACGAAGUUUGCAAGAAUUGUCCAUUAAUGAAUCGGGAUUUCUAUUUUCUGGCAAAUCUGAUGUUGUUGCCAUUUGAUGAAUUUGAUGUGAUUUUGGGUAUGGAUUGGCUAACGAUGCAUGAUGCUAUAGUGGAUUGUAGACGAAAGAUAAUUGAACUGAAAUGUUAGAAUAAUGAGACUAUUAGAAUUGAAUCCGAUGAUCUGAAUAGUUUACCAGUUGUGAUCUCGUCUAUGUUAGCUCAGAGAUUUGUGAGAAAGGGGUGCGAAGCCUAUCUUGCUUAUGUACUUGAUACAAAAGUGAUAGAAACAAAGAUUGAAUUAGUACCAGUUGUGUGCGAGUAUCCAAAUGUAUUUCCCAAAGAGUUACCAGGUUUACCACCUAUCAAGGAAGUUGAGUUUGGUACUGAAUUAGUACCGGGAACAACACCGAUAUCGAUAGCUCUGUAAAAAAUGGCUCUAACAAAGUUAAAAAAAUUGAAAACUCAGUUGCAAGAAUUGACAGAUAGAGGUUUUUCUAGACCAAGUUUUUCUCCCUGGGGUGCACCGAUGUUAUUUGUGAAAAAGAAAGACGGCACGAUGAGAAUGUGUAUAGACUAUCGACAGCUCAACAAAGUGACGAUCAAGAACAAAUACCCUUUGCCAAGAAUAGAUGAUUUGUUUGAUCAUUUAAAAGGGGCAACAGUGUUUUCAAAAAUUGAUUUGAGAUUGGGUUAUUAUCAAUUGUGAGUUAAAUACUCAGAUGUGCCUAAGAUUGCAUUUAGAACAAGGUACGGAAACUACGAAUUUCUUAUUAUGCCUUUCGGACUAACAAAUGCACCUGCUGUUUUUAUAUGCACUUGAUGAUUCAGAUUUUUCAGCCAUACUUAGACUGAUUCAUAGUUGUGUUUAUUGAUGAUUUUUUUAUUUACCCUCGUGAUGAAUUUGAGCAUGCCGAGUAUUUGAGAAUUGUGUUACAAACUUUGAAGGAUAAAUAGUUGUUUGCAAAGUUCAGCAAAUGUGAGUUUUAGCUACGAGAGGUUGGUUUUCUGGGACAUAUAAUUUCAGCUGCGGGUAUUCGAGUUGACCCGAGCAAAAUUUCUGUGAUUAUGGAUUAGAAUCCUCUAAGAAAUGUAUUCGAAGUUCGUAGUUUUCUACGACUAGCCAGUUAUUAUAGACGAUUUGUGAAAGGCUUCUCAAUAAUUGCGACUCCGAUGGCAAGAUUGCUUCAAAAAGAUGUUAAAUUUGAGUGACUAGAAAAGUGUCAGUAGAGCAUCGAGCAGUUGAAAGCAUUAUUAACAGAGGCAUCAGUGUUAGUUCAGCCUGAGUCGAGUAAAGAAUUUGUAGUUUUCAGUGAUGCAUCGUUAAAUGGUCUGGGUUGUGUUUUGAUGCAAGAAGGCAAAGUUGUAGUUUAUGCCUCGAAACAGUUGAAGACGCACGAAAAGAAUUAUCCGACACACGAUCUAGAUUUAAUCGCGAUAUUGUUUCCAUUGAAAAUUUGGCGUCAUUAAAUGCCAUAUUUAUACCGACCACAAAAGCUUGAAAUAUCUAAUGACUCAUAAAGAUUUGAAUUUGCAGCAACGGAGAUGGUUAGAAUUGCUAAAAGACUAUGAAUUAGUGAUUGAUUAUCAUCCGGGGAAAGCGAACCUAGUUGCUGAUGCUUUGAGUCGAAAGUCCUUAUUUGCUUUAUGUGCUUUGAACACACAAUUAGUUUUGUCUGACGAUGGUUCGAUAGUAGCCGAGUUAAAAGCGAGACCGUUAUUUCUACAGCAGAUUUGAGAGGCUCAAAAUUUUGAUAAUGAAUUACAAGCAAAACGAGCUCAGUAUGAGUCCACUUCUGAUUCAGAGUUUCUAUUAGGGCCUGAUGGUUGUUUGAUAUUUCGUGAUAGAAUAUGUGUACCAAGAAAUUCUGAGCUUAUUCGGAAGAUUCUAAACAAAUCACAUAGUAGUUGUUUAUCAGUACAUCCAGGAAGCACGAAAAUGUACAACGAUUUGAAAUAGUUUUAUUGGUGGCACAGCAUGAAAUGAGAUAUCUCCGAAUUUGUUUCAAAAUAUUUGAUUUGUUAGAAAGUCAAAGAUGAGCAUCAAGUGUCAUCAGGUUUAUUACAGCAUAUUAUAAUUCUUGAGUGGAAGUGGGAUAGAGUAACAAUGGAUUUCGUAUCGGGUUAGCCCUUAUCUCUGAAAAAGAAAGAUGCAAUCUAGGUUGUUGUUGACAGAUUGACGAAAUCAGCUCAUUUCAUUCUGAUACGUAUAGAUUUCUCACUUGAUAAAUUAGUUGAGUUGUAUAUUUCUGAAAUUGUGAGAUUACAUGGUGUUCCUCUAUCUAUUGUUUCGGAUAGAGAUCCAAGAUUUACUUCAUGAUUUUGGAAGAAAUUGUAAGAAGCUUUGGGUUCAAAGUAGCAUUUUAGUACUGCAUUUCAUCCGCAAAUGGAUCGUCAAUCCGAACAAGUCAUUCAGAUACUUGAGGAUAUGUUACGUUGUUGCAUUCUUGAGUUUGAAGGUAGCUAGGAGAAAUAUCAAUCGCUGAUUGAAUUUGUUUACAAUAAUAGCUUCCAACCGAUUAUAAAGAUGGCACCGUACGAAGCUCUAUACGGUCGUAAAUGUCAAACACUGUUGUACUAGAGUGAGCUCAGUGAAAAUAAGAUUCACGGGGUUGAUCUAUCAGAUAGACUAAAGAAAGAGUGAAAGUAAUUCAUGAUAGUUUGAAAGUAGCUUCGGAUCGAUAGAAAUCAUACGCAGACUUGAAUGGAAAGAUAUUGAGUUCUAAAUCGGGGAUAAAGUUUUUUUGAAAGUGUCGCUGUGGAAAAAGAUAUCGCGGUUUAGUCAAAAAGGGAAAUUGAGUCCACAAUUUAUCGGACCGUAUGAGAUUACUGAGCGAGUUGGGCCAAUGGCAUAUCGGUUGUCCUUACCGUCUUAGUUAGAAAAGAUACAUAAUGUGUUUCAUGUAUCGAUGCUACGAAGAUAUCGUUCAAACCCUUCACACAUUAUUCUCCAACUAAAGUUGAGAUAUAGUUAGAUUUAUCAUACAGUGAAGAACCGAUUCGAAUUUUAGCUAGUGAGAUCAAAAAGCUGAGAAAUAAGAGAAUCGCAUUAGUGAAAGUAUUAUGGCAUCGACACGGGUUUGAAGAAGCUACAUGGAAACCCGAGGAUGCUAUGAGAAAACAAUACUUGAACCUAUUCACAAGUAAAAUUUUUGAUGACGAAAAUCCCUAAGGGGGGAGAGUUGUAACAGCUCAGUUUUAGCUAAAUCAGAAUAGUGGUUUCAGAACCACAAAUCCAAUGUCAGAAAAUUAUUUUUAAAAUUAUUUUCGAUAUUUGCAGCAUGUUAUUUGAUAUGUGUGAAAAUUUCGUGAGCUAGUUUUAUCGAUUGGCUGGUUAAUUUGUACAAAACGACUAAAUCGCAUAAAAUGUAAAAGUUGCAUUCUACUUGUUAAAGGUGUUUAAUUACUAUGAUUUAUUAAAUUAAAAGUCUUUAUGAUGAUAUUAGACCAUUGGUAGUGUUAAUGGACAAUUAUGACCAUCCAUUAUAUGUUUUUAUAUGUUUACAACAAAGGUUAUUAUAGUAAAUUGAUAAAUUAAGUUAAUUAAAUUAUAUCAAUAGAUGAAAUUGUUUCAUAUUCUUCCUUGGCAACCAAAAAUAGAAAAAAAAAGAUAGGGUUUGAAGCUUUUUAAGUUUACUCCUAGCUUAAUUAACAUCAAGAAAGAAAGAAUUCGGAUUUAGAUCGGGGGAAAAACAAGGUUAUCGAGUAGUCGACUCGAUCCAUCAACUUUGAAUACGAGGUAAGUUCAUAUGUUGUAAUUGCAUUACAAAUGUAUUUAUAUGCUUUGAUAUAGCAUGAAUUGUGAUUAUGUGAUUAUAGAUAAGUUCGAAAAUGAUUUGACAAUGAUUCGACAAUUGGAAUCCUGGUUGAACCUUAGGAAUAGUUUAGAAAACUAGUGACAUGUCAUUAGGUAUACUUUGAGUAAGCUUCGGGUCAUGUUAUUAGCACUUCGGGUACGAGAAAUAUCGACUUGGCUUCCGGCCAUGCAUAUCAGCUGAUUUGACUUCGGGCUAUGACAUUAAAAUUUCGGAUAAUUUACCUUGAUUUGGCUUAGGGCCAUGGUAUAGGUACUUAUCGUAAGAGACCUUGAGUAUCCGACUUCUAUUCUGAAUGGUUCAAUGGGUAAAUGAAAGAUGUGGUUGAGUAUGAGAUUGGUACGAGAUGGUACAGGUACGUACGGUAAUGAAUUGAGUAUUGAAACUAUGGAAUUGAUGAGUUCCUUGGUAAGUUAUGUGAAUGACAAUUUGAUAUCUUUAAGAUUUAAUAGAAUUAUUGUAUAUCGUUAUUCUAUUAUUUGAAUGAUGAAUGAAUGAUGAAUGAAUGGUGAUAGUUGCUUAAUAUUCACAUACGAGUUUACUAAGCUAUGAAGCUUACUUCGUGUUAUUUUUCUAUGUUUUUAUAGUGAAUCAAGGAAAGCUCAGAUUUGGGAGUCGUCGGGAACAUCAUCACACUAUCAAACAUCUAAUUUGGUACUUUUGAGUUAUACAUUUAUGUUAUAUGGCAUGUAUAGGCUAGAUGUAGUAUUUUGGUUGUGAUUAUAGCCAUGAGAUUUGGCUUGUAAAUUAUAUAUGUUUUGGUUUGUAUACAUAGCCAUGAUUGAUGGCUUAUUUUGGUAUGUUUGGUAUGAAUGUGGUUAUGGUUUUAUAGUUUUUCAAAUGGUUAAUUAAUUUGUGGAGUAUAAAUGCUUUAGAAAUGCCUUGAUGAGGUAUGAUUUUAGAUGUUGUAUUGGUUAUUUAUAAGGAAGUUAUGUGUGUGUGAAUUGUGGUAAAUGAACUAUAUAGAUUGAUAUUGUUUUGGCAUGUAUUUUACUAAGUAAAUGGUAGUGAUUUGGGAUUUGGAAUAGAUGAAAUUAUAAUGGUAUGAAUAGUGCAUUUGGUUGAUGAUUUUGGCUGCCUAAUUGUAUGAUGAAAUGGUAUCAUUUUGGUUGUUUAGGUGAGCAUGAAUAAGGGUGGCAAAUUGGCCUUACAAAUGGCCUAUUUUUGUCCACACGGCAAAGACACAGGUGUGUGUCUCGACUGUGUGCGACACAUGGUCAUGUUACACGACUAUGUGUCCCUGGUGUUGAUAUUAAAAUGAAGUCAGUAUGCUCCAUACGGUCUCACACACGGGUGUGUGACCAACCAUGUGGUACAAGUCAGUAUACUCCUUAAUUGGCACACGGCCUAGCACACGGGCUUGUGACUUGGCCAUGUUGCAUAAGUCCGUAUACCCUAUAGUUUUGACACAGGCUAGCACAUGGCCUGGAACACGGGCGUGUGUGGCCAUUUCAAAAGGCACACGGGCUAAAUGCACGGGCGUGUGGUUGGCUGUGUGACCCAAGUCAGUAUGUAUGCCCUGUUUCCACAUGGCCUGAGACACGGGCAUGCCUAAAUCCGUGUGAGGCACACGGCCUGUUCACACGGGCAUGUGACCCCUGUAUGGUUGAAAUUUUUCUAAGUUUCCAAAAUUUUUAUAUGUUAUUGGUAUAGUCCCAAACCACUUCUAAAGCAUGUUUAAGGCCUCGUAGACCAUAAGGGACAAUGUGAUUGUGUUAAAUGAUAUAUGAGAAUGAAUAUUUUAUGUUUGAUAAAUGUAUGCUAUAUGUUGUGAAUUGAUUCGUAAUACCUCGUAACCCUACUCCGACGACGGAUACAAGUUAGGGUUGUUACAGUUUGACUUGGUCCACAUACAUAAUUUUAAUUAUAAUACACAUAUACAAAUAUCAUAACAGAAUAGAUCCUACCCCCAUCCACUACAUAUCAUCUCCGACCAACAAUCACACUAAUUAGUACUACAUGAGUCCAUCCAUCCAAUCACACCGGUAAAUGGUGUUAUACCACUCAUAAAUAUGUAGUUGAGCUGCCAGACAGAUAUUGCGGUUUAACUGCUAGAAUUUGCAGUAAUACUACCAGAAUACACUUCCUCCAUUACAUAUCAAAACCUACCCUGAUGCACAUGCAUAAUCAAACCAACAUAUAUUCAUAUCACAUGUAAUGUAUAGCAUACAUACUUAAACAUAUAGAUCAUAUUAUAUCAUAUUACUUAUUCAAAAUUAAUCCUACUUAUCAUGCCUUAUAAGCAUACUCGUACAUAACAUACCGAAUUUACGCUUUUAAACCCCUACAAUAGGAUUCCCAUCAUUUCGUUGUAAAAUUUUGAACUAACAAUAGGAUUCCCAUGUAUGGAUCUUGUUCAUAAGCAUAAUUCUAGGAAACAAUCCAAGAAAUACACAAAUUUGAAAAGAAAUAGAUUGUUUUGUAUAUGUGUUUUUGGUCUAAUUUUGGAUGGAAUUUAUCAAAGAACUUGGCCCAUAAAUUUGGGGUUUUUGCUAGUAGGAUAUCAAAAGAAGAUGGUUCAUAUAAGUUCAAUCAUGCUUGAAUCCAAUUUUGAAACUUGAAUUGGGUGUCAUACUUGAAAUAUAUAAGCCAAUAAUGUCCCAUAUGUUGAUUGUUGAUAAGAAAGGUGUUGUACCAGGUUGUUUCAUUGUCCCAAUAUGUAAAAUGACGGUGGUAGUCUAUUUUGGUGGUAAAUUUGGUUGGGAAUAUUUUCUGGAGAGUUUGGGUUUUCACAUUAUCUCUUGGUCUAAGAAGUUUUAUUAUUUGGGCUAUUGAAUGAGUAAUGAAGUUAGGGUCUUUUAGAUUUGUGUAAUGUUUGAACAAUAUUGAUUCAGUUUGAACCAAUAUGUUUUCAUAAUAUUUUUAGGUUUUUUUGGGAGUUUAAUAGCUUGAUAUGUCAUAUUUUGAAAAGUUCUUUGAUAAUAAUAUGUAGAGGUCUUUUAGAAAAUUCUUUAUUCAUAAUGAUUUUUUUUUCAAAACAUUUGUUUGUAAAAUAUUGUGAGGAUUUUUUUGUGUAGUAGUCUAUGAAGAUGCUACUUUUUUUGAGAAACCUCUUAAAGAAAUAUUUCUUUUAAAAUAUAUUUUUAGAGAUUUUGAUUUGUAUAAAACAUCUCUCUAUUUUUUGAAAUCUUGGUUGCUUGAACAACAAUUUGUAUGAGAAGAAUUUCCUCUUUGAUGUAGCAUAGUUCUUUCAUUACUAAAUGACUAAUUUAUUUACUCACUAUUAAUAUCUAAUCCUUUUUUAAUUCAACACUUAUUAAAUAAAUCCAUUAUAAUAUAUUCCUUUAAAAAAAACCUUCCAAAAUCUUUUAUAUAAAAAAAUAAUGUUUUCAUGCUCUAUUCCUUCUAAAACAUAUUCAUAAAAAUAAUAUUAUUUUUUAAUAUUAUUUACCAAAAUGCAUAAAUCAAGUUAUUAAUAUAUUAAGACCUUAUAUAAAUUUCCAAUGUUUUCAGAUUAAUUUAGAUUAAGUAUGUAACUUUCCAUUUAUAUUAAAAAAACAUUAUUUUUUCAUAAAAACAAUAUCAAAUUUGACUUCUUGAAAAAGUCAAUGCAUUCACCUAAUUGCUUAAAAUAUAUAUCAGUGGCUAAAUAGAUAGUAUAUGCCAUUUUUUUAAAAUUGGACAAAUAGGCCAUUUUUUUUAAGAUUGACGGAUAUAGGUCGAUUUUGGAGAGAGAGUGCAUUAGGCGCGCUUUUAUACUUUCUCUUCUCGAUCAUCAGUUUUUAGGGUUAUGGUUUUUUUAGUUUAAGAAUUAGGGUUUUGAGAGUGAAAUAGUAAAAUUUUAUAUGUAGAUUUGAAGGGCCAAAGAUGCGUAAUGCAUCUCAAAAAACAUACAUUUCAUAUGUAAUGUCGGGAUAGGACCAUUACCUCAAAAAUCCAUCUUUUGGAAGUCGAGUUUCGAGGUGACAGUGUUUCAUAUGGUCAUGGGUUGAAUUCUAAAUGGAGGUCCUAAUCGGUGGUCGUUAUGCGGUCACAGGUUUGAGUAUAACUGCGGAUCAAUUGAUGGUCAUUAUGCAGUCACGAGUUCAAGUUUUUUGGAUACUCGCAAAUGGUGCCUUAUAUAUAUCAUACAUAAGAUUGAGGACAUAAUCAUAAGGAAAAACGAAGGGAUUUCCGAUGUAAUCAACAUAAAUUUUUUCUAGUUCCAAACAGUAGGUGUAUUUAAUCUUUCAUUCUUAUCCAAAAGCUAACAACGAGGUGGUGGAGAGCGGAUGUUCUGGCGGAGUAGAGGUUAAACUCUAGUUAACGCGACAGCGAUUGUAGUUAUUAAUAGGUUGUUUAUUAACGACAACUGUUGUUGCCCCGAAAGGAGCAUCACUUUUACUCCAUCAUUACAGUUGUUGCCCGCCUAAAAGUCUUUCUGCGUCCACUAAGGUGCUACCCUUUGGAUAAGAGCGAAGAUUACAAAAAAGCCCCAAAGUUUUUCCCUAUAAUUAUGCCCUCAAACUUUUGUAUCGUAUUUAUAAGGCAACAUCUUCGGAUAUCCAAAAAGUUUGAGCUCCUGCCUGCAUAACGACCAUCAACUAGUUCCCUAGUUAUACUCUGAUCCAUGACCUCAUAUGACUAUCUACUGAGACUCUACGUAGACUUCCAUUCGAGACUGUAUAAAGUAUCGUCAUCCUAAAACCCAACUUUCACAUGACAGGUUUUUGAGGUAAUGGUCUCGUCUCGAUAGGAUUUAUGAAACGUGUGUGUGUUGGAGCGAUAUCGCAUCACCGAUGACUCAAGAAUACUUUAAAUAGGAAUAAUAUUAUCAAAAAAAAAUUUGAACUCUGAAGCAGGGAAGAAAAUAGAGAGAGAAAUAUUAUAAAAUGGAUGGAUGAUGACCGAUAGAAAUGGUAGGUUUAAGGAUGAUGGAAUAUGGACGGAAAGCCUCCUCUUUUAUAGGUGCAAGAGAGGGGUGAGAUUAAAAAGAAAAAACAACUCGUGGUUGAAAAUGUCUUAUAGAAAAGACGUUUUCAUCGAAUAUCUAAAAGAAGUGCCUCAAAUCAUACACGAGAUUACUCAGAUCAGGGCACCUUAGCAGGCUUUGAGUGGUGGUGGACUGUCCACCACCAUUCAAAGCCUACCAAGGUGCCUUGCCCUUGAGAAUCUUGGGUAUGUUUUCAAGCAUAUUGAAGACCCUUUCAAGCGCACGUCUACUGAAAUUGAUUUUGUUGAAAUGCAUUUUCAAGUACAAAAGAACCUUUCAUUAUUAUUAUUCAAUGGAAACGCGUCUUGAAAGGCGCUUUCAAGCACCCCUUCCCUCUCUCAUCGUUCUUUUUUGCUAUUAAACUACUGAAGUAUUCAAUACUUAGACACAAGCAAAUUCAUUCUUUUUUGAAGAGUUGCAUUGCAAAUUCAUUCUUAAACCUAUCCCAAAUAAGAGUAUGUAACCGUCAAUGUUCAGCACCCCAUUCGAGUUGGCACUGAAUAUCAACUUGCGUCACCUCCCAAAAAGUCGUCCGAAUUCUACUCGGAUACGCACCAAUAUAAAUGUUCAAGAGAGAGACAAUUAAUAAAGGUUAUGCGACUAUUGUAGGAACCUAGGGCAUAUUAAGGUAACAUGUCAACAUUUGAGGGGUGUAUUGAGGACAACACGUCGCUAACAUAUUUUUUUUGUAUAGAAAUUGAUUAAAAUGUUUUUUUGGUACAAAAUCUGUUCAUUCUUUUCUAUACCUAACAGAUUGUUUGGUCUUAUUACACUUUUUACUUUCAACUUUCAUAGAAAUUUUGUGAUGGAUAAUAAAAUUAUCCCUUUCACUAUUUUGUUUUCCAUGGUGAAAUAGUGAAUAAGGCUAAAUUAGGUGUAGUAAUUUACCUCUCAAUAUUUAUAAAAUUAUCAUUAAACUUUUUAUAUCAAAUAUUAUAUAUGGAAAAUUACGUACAAUAUAGAUUAGAAUUUAACAAAGACAAUUAUGUGUUGCAGCACAAAUAUAAAAAAAAAUUUAAUCACGUUUUAUUGAUAUCAAUUAUAAUCACAUCAUAAAAAGUAACUGAAAAAUAUAUCAUCGACGCUAUUGUGUUGAAUGUGUGCCACAGGGCAGUGGCUAACGAUUGCAGAUAGGAUUUAUACAUACAACUUGAGGUGUCGGGUCCACUUUUUAGUCAUGAUCCUCGUCUUCAUUUUUACCUCAACCCUCGUAUUCAUCUUUGUCUCCACCCUCAUCUUGGUCUCCAUCUCCUUCUUUCGUGGUUAAGUAUGGUAUCAUCCUAGCCUCCCAUUGUGUGUCCUCUAUUCUAUGAGAAGGUGGUUAUGAUGAUGAGCCACCUUGAUAAACUACGACACGAUGGGUGUUUGUAACUAUUGAUAAAUAACCGUAUGAUGUCACAAAACCCGGUUGCGCGUAAUAUCAGGGAAUCAUUGUUGUUAAAGAAUACGUAGACAUGAUAUCGGCAUUGAUGUUGACAUUAGUGUCAGCAUUUAUGUCGGCAUCAGGGCAUAAUAUGCUCGGGACAGCGGUGCUGCGGAAUACACACUACAAAAGGUGUAGAUGUAGGAUAUUGCGGUGGUGCAUAGUAUGGUCUAUAAUGUGGUGCUUGUGAAAAAUAUAUAGGGUUAGUGAAAGAAACAUGAAUAUAUAGAAGGAACUGAUUGGGAUAUGGCGUAGACAUCGGUGCCCCUUGUUGGGUUGAAGUCGAUGACGAACUCAUUGCGGCACUUGCUCUGGACCUACGAUGCUAGGGCGGUCGUCGUGGUCUCUUCGGACGAAUUUGCCUACUCAUCGCCUCCACAAAUAGUAGAUAUGACUUACCAGUGAGUCUAAAUAAAGGUAUGUACUCCAAAGAGGUCAUCGUGUCUGGUGUGAAAAAGGGUCACAAAUGCGUAUGAAAUUCAAAUGGGUAUGAAAUUCAUCUUGUGAUCCCAAACUUCGAUGUACUCCUUGUGGAAUCCUCGCUAAUUUUCGUCAGUUUUCCCCCACAAAUCAAGCUUGCAAAGUGCUUCAAUGUCUUGUGGUGUCGGGAAAAUUUUUUGCUUCCACCCAAACUGUCUCGUCAUUCAAUCUAAUUCAUGCAUCUCCACCGCUGCAUAAACUCAAUGGCACCUUUAUGCCCAACAUACUCUGAAUGACCAAAAUUUUAGGCAGGAUGUAUUUUAUGAUAUCCAGAUCAACGUAUGACAUCCAAUCAAACUAUAGUACACAAUUAUAAAUUUCAUUAUCUACAAAAUUUUAAAUUCCAAAUCAUUGCAUAAUUAUUAUAAGUUUAAAAAAUUCAAUAACUAACUUUGACUUCGGAGCGUUGAUCUAACAGCAACCGGAUAUAUUCGAGCUGCUCCAGUAGUCCCACAUAAAUUGGCCCAUGGUACCAUUUACUCAAACAAUAUAUUAAUUCAAAAAUAUAAUAAAUAAACAACAUUAACUAUGCUAACUAUAUAUUGUUAUCAAAUGAAUUUUACCUUGUCACCAAUUGGAAUGUAUAAGAGUCGUCCACUUGAGGACGUGAAAAUGGUAGUGGCCACCAUGUCCAUGACUGCAGCAGGAGCAAGCACCUACCAAUUGACAUCUUAUCUUGUUUCGUCGCCCAACACAACUCCUUGUGUAACGUGGCUAACGUGGUUGAUCCUCAACUAAGACAACCACAUUCUUUGAAGUCGACUAGGUGUAGUAGCCACCUUAUGUGUACUAAAUUUCAAGAUUUAUCGGGUAUUAGAAUGCCCUUGAUUAACCUUAGGAUGAAUGCUCGUGCGUAUUAUUCUUUUUCGAUGUCAGUCACAUCCUUAAGAAAGAAUUUGAAAUUAUCUUCCAACCAUUUCAUCUCUAUCCGGCCACCUUGAAACUUGUUCGGCACCUUCCUUAAAAAUGCCUCGCAGAGGUCCUCCUUAUUGGGAACGACCGCUGCCCCUUUAACGAUUAACCCAUCCACUAGUAAACCGAGUUGUAAAGCUACGUCCUAGAGUGUCAUUGUACACUCGAUCUAUGGAAGAUGGUAUGUUUGUUUCUCGGGUCUCUAUCUUUCCACCAAUGCGUUGAUAAGUGUAGGAUCCAAUUUACAAUGCUCAAGCAUACAAGACACGUGUAAGAAUCUCGCAUCUUGCAAAUAACCACGAAUUUCACUGUCUAGGCUCUUUGAUAAAUUGUGUCUGAACCCCUCCAAAACACUAUCAUCCGCCUAUUUAUAUAAAUAAAAUAAAAUAAUUUUAAAAAUUUUAAAACUUUAAAAUUAACUUAAUUGAAAAUAAUGAAACUAAAAAUUUUUCCUUGCCAUUAUCAAUUGAGCGGUACAAAUGUGCUUGUUGUCGAAACGAGUAAAAGAACUCGUCAUUUUUGAAAAUUUAAUCGAAAUGAAUAAUCUACGAUAUAAUAAAAUAAAAUAAUAAUAUUUUUAUACAAAUGUAUUGGAAAAUUUUGAGCAAAUCUUAAAAAAAUUGAGAGAAUUGAGAAUUUAGAGAGAAUAGAGAGAGUUAGAUUUGAAUGAAAAGAAUAAAACAUAACAUAUUUAUAAGAAAUUAAAUUUAUUGUUGGAUUAUUUAAAAAUUUUACUGUUGGCGUGUUUGAAUUUACACAGUUUGGGAAGAUGAUAGUUGGAAGCUGGACUCUCUCCAGAAUCAGCAUAUUUAGCCUAUAUAAUCACCGAAAAUUGACUGCUAUAAUUGUGCAAUUUCAUAAGCAAAAUUACAACACAUACCAAAAACCCUAAAUCUCUUACGAGGAUAAAUAACAGUACUGAGAUUUGUUUAUCUUUAGAUUUUUCAUAUAUGAUAUCGAGUUUGAGUGAUGUCAAUUAUUUACCUCUUCCAUUGUCUUAUGUUUACUUUUAAAUAUAUUACUUUAUAAUGUUAAUUACAUUAUUAUUUACUUUUCGGCUAUGGAAACUUGCUGGGAUUCAAAUCAAACAAACUAACUUCUCAAUUCCUACUUUUCUAUUAGCUGCAUUUUUUUCUUUUACACAAAAUUUUCCUGUUUAAUAUAUAUUUCUUUAUCAGAUUUAAUACCUACUUCAUGGGAAUAUACAAAUAUAUUUAAUAAUAAUUCUUUUUCUUGCAGUUUUUUAAAGAAAUUUUCCUGCAAUUCUCAAAAUUUUAUUUAUUCUAUAAACUGUCAAUGGCUGGAAACUCUGCUUCACAGAACAGAGAGGUUAGAUUCUCAAACUUAGUUCAAUUAUAUAUAACAUGGAUAAAAUUUGAAACGUCUAAUGUUUUGUGUUCUUAUCAAUUUCAAUGAGUGCAACAACAAAAAUUCUAGAAGACAAGAAAAACAAGUAUUCCUUUAUUGACAUAAACAUGCAUGUUUUUAUUCUUAUUUAUUAAAAUUAUUUGAAUUUAUAUAUCUAAUGUAAAAAUUAACGUAUCUUCCGUAUUUGGAGUAUUCCAUGAUCUAUAUUAUUGCAUAAUUUUAAAAAUUGUUAUAUCAUUAUUAAGACAUUUCCGUUUUCACGAACUUAUCUUCUAUGCUUGAGACGAAAGCGGCUAGUAACGUUGACGCAGAUUAUAUUAUACGUCAUGAAAUCUAUUGUUAUAUUUUCAGCAAAUUAACUCUUUGGGUUCAAUUCAUCAUGCUGUUGAUGCUAUAUUAAAAUUAAGCUUCAUCAAAAAUGCCAACACUAAACUUAAGGGAACAUCUAAAUGCACUAAGCAAGAAAUACUCAGUGUAUGCUUAAUGCCCAUUUUAUGGUAAUAAUAUUAGCUAAUAUUUGGCAAUUUGAUUUACAAUUAUAUAUGUUGAUAAUAUUUUAAUAUGAAUUAUAAAAAAUUAAACCGCUUUUAUAAUUAAAUUAUAAUCAGGUUUUAAUAUAUAUAAUGAUAAGAAAACACAUUUUAAACCCUUUAUUUUAAUCGCAUACCAAAAAUUGAAAAAUAAAAAUUUAUAUUAUAUUUACAUUUUUUAAUGAUAAUAUUUUUUUUAAAUUUUAAUAAAUAAAUAGAAUAUAUUUUAAUAUAAACAAUCAUCUGCAGCAAGUUUUAAGAAACAUUUCUUUUU